CUUUUUUUUUUUUUUUUUUUUGGUAAACCUUUGUUGUAAAACCAAAAAUCAACGCAGUUGAUAGAGACAUUAAUCAAGUGAUAAUUUUUUUUGUCAUUUUACCUUUUACAUUUUUCUUUAAAAAAAGAAAAAGGCAAAAUGCGAAAGGGUAGGGAGGGUGAUAAUUAAACUAAUAAAGGUGGGUUUGAUAAAAUUGAAAUUUGAAAUCUAAAAUCUAAAUUCUGAAUCCAUGAAAUUAUUGAAUUGUUAAAUAUUAAAUAGAAUAUAUUUGAGUGUAUAUCAUAUUUAGUGAUAAAUGAAUAGUUUAUCAAUAAUUUUUUCGAGCAAGUUUUGCCUAAAAAAUUCAGUACUACUUAAUUAAUUCAGAUAUUUAAUUUUUAUUAUCAAAUGCAUCAAACAUGUUAAGAUAUGAAUUUAUUAAGUUUAAACGCUGAAUUGAAUUAUCAAACACGGCCUAAGAUAAUAAACAAAGACCCUUAACUACUAGCCUAGUGAAUUAUUGUCUAUUCAGUACUCACCUGUUGGCUGAUAAUUAAGCCAAGAAAGAUGUAGUCCGACUGACUUUUUCUAAUCUGGUUUUUAAGUGAAAAUCUUCCCCCCUUCAAAAUUGAGAAGGACAAAACAAAAAGGGAGUCCACCCAACGCUCGAUGGGGCUGUCUAAAUUUCCAAAAAGCAAGCUUAUCAAGGAACUGCCUGGGACAUAAAGAACCAUUGCUCUAGCUUCCUACCCAAAAAAAAAAAAAAAAAGAGAACCACUGCUCUUUUGUUAAUGGCUGCUCUACCAAAGAUUUUAUUUACUUAGAACUACAUUGAAUAAUAAUCAAAGAAUUUUUAGCUUAAGAAAACUACAGAAUCCUUCCUCAACCCUACAGAUGAGUACAGACCAGCAUCGAUCUUCUUAACUUUUAUCAUGAAUCUACUAAAAACUAAAUCUGCAGCUAAACCUUGGCGUUAUGAUCAUCAGAAAUAGUCUCCUCUGAAGACGUAUCACUGUCAAUGAUGAUCAGGUCCUGUUUGAUACCAGGAUUCUGCACUUCAGCUUGAUUAUGUUCUAACACAAAUGGGAAGUUGCCAUUAUGAGCUCCAGCUCCUGCUUGUUGCUCGACUCUUUCUGCAACGGUGCGCUUGUUGCUUAUUCGAUAACUUGGCUCAUGAUGAAUUCCUUGGCAUCAAGAAAAGGUUUCUUUACCCACUGCCUUUCAACAGAACCUACAGAUGAGUUAUCUGAUGGCAGAACCGUCUGAGGAGAUCUCAAAGGGAUUGAGACUACUUCUCUGAGCCAGUGAGGCAAAUUUCCCCCGAUAGCCAUACAAGUUGACUGAUUGGCACCAAAAGAACAUUCGACAUCCAGCAUUGCAUUGUUUUGAAGCAUAGCUCUCCUGCGGUUUUCCCUGCAGGAAUACAUGUCCUCGUGUUUGUUGCAGCUUUUUGAAGUUGCCAAGGUGCAUUAGUUUGCACAUUGAAAUAAUUAAAGAGUGGUCUUUUCUGGACUGCCAUUUGGCUGGGAAUAUACAUCUCCAAGUGAAAGUUGAACAUCAUCCACCAAAUUUUCUUUUCCAGUCUUGGAAUGCCAAAAGCUAUCCACACUGUCUUGGAAAAUAUUGGGUGUUCUCGAAUGUCUCCCUCUGGCAGUAGGCAUGGUAUUGAAAAGCUUAGAUUGUUCCUCUUCCCACUGCGCAGCAAGUUCCUUGGGAGUCCUCCAUGGACAAAAGUGCAGCCUCGGAUCCCUUAACAUGACAUCCCAAUUUCCUCUUCCAUACCUCCUGAUGCCAACCCAAAGAGAAUCUAGCUCUUCCUCUGACCACAUUCUUGGAGAAUCAUACGAUUCUAGACAGCUGCCUCUCUUUCGCUUCGGCAUUCUUGCUCUACUGACAAUAUUAUCUAGCACCAUCUUGUGUCUUCUAUAGGAUGAUGUCUGAUGUGGAAAUUCAGGCACUGUAUCUUGAGCAAAUUCUUUUGAUUGAAUGCCAAUAUUAGGCCGCUGAGAUGAGGUGGAACUGUGAUCAUGACCAUCAUUUAUCAGUUCCAUGGGCAGAAAUAAACCAAGAAAGAGUGAAGAUUUUGUUGCCGAAAGUCUCGUCUGGCUCCUGCUCUCCGUCAGACCAACAGUCCUUUCUUCAGAAUCAGCACAAGCUGUAACAUAUUUAUGCGUCUUCUUUGAUUGGAACAUAUCAUCAGAUCUAUCCUCUGGAAAUAGCUGAAAAAAGAUACCAGAUUGCCUAUUUUUAAGCACCAAACUCUAUUUCGCCUACUGAAAAGGAAAUGACUAACAAUUUUUAACGUAUGACAACAAAAUCAUGUAAUAGAUGUUUUAUCUAAUAACUGGUUCUUGAAACUCAAUAAUCCCACCAACCUGUAGGCAGUUGUUUUUCAGUCCAAAUACUGGAGAAGAAUUUGCUACAUUAUUAUAAUUGUGACCAACAGCUUCCUCAGAAAGGAAACCAUCUUCUGGUAACUGUGCCUGGUGAAGUGGAUGUUUUUCCCCAACUCUCUCACAGAGCAACUCCAAGCGUUUGCUUCCUGGAGACUCAUCUUUAAUAAGCAUAGUAUGACUUCCACUUUGUGAGUUCAGCAAACCACAGAGUGGCUGUUCUUCAUGGAUAGAUGCUGUACCACACUCCUCUGUACCAUGAGAAUCUAUAAUAACAUGAUGUUAAAGUUGAGUUUUAGCAAACACCAACUGAAACGAUAGACAUAGCAGAAGCAGGUAAAGAAUUAAAUAAAACUAAUCCACCUCAAACAUGAUUUAGAAAUCCUCACCAGGAAGAGGUACAGAUAAGUCCAGUGAUACUGCAGCAUGUUGGCCACGAGGAAUCUCAUUGGUUUUUCUUACGGUGCUCAGGUCAUCAUAGGACAAUCUUAAAGAUUCAUGAGCUACAGUAUCUUGACAACUGAGUCUUAGAGAUUCCUGAGCUACAGUAUUUUUACAGUAUUUUGACACUGGUUUGCAAGAAAGGUCAUCAGCCGAAUCAUUUGAUAAGUUUCCUGAACAACCUAUACGACCUUCUAGGAAGUCAACCCCAACAGAAUUCUGAGGAAAUACUUCCAAUGUAGACUGGUUGUCCUGUGUAUUUUCCAGCUUGUCAUCUGCUUGCUCGAAGCUGCUAAAUAACAUACAAGAGGAUGAAUUCACAUGACUACUUGGUAGAGUAGAAACAUUUCUACGACAGUUUGAAGCUUACUUCGCAUUUUCAGGAGAUAAUCUAGAGGUAUAUGAUUCUUCAACUUCUCUGCUUGCCAUCUGUUGAAGACCAGCAAACUUAUUGAACUCAACAAGAAAGCAUAUGUACCAUUGAGCAGAAUCAAUCGACUACUAGCCUCUUUAUUCUCCCUUUCCCCAUAGAGUUACCACGAUGAAUCAAUGAAAGCAACAAAAUUCACAAUAACAGGAAAGUUCAGCUACAGCAAAUUAAGACUACCCCAGACCGUAUGACUGCAACACAUUGUCAGAACAUCUUUAAAACAAAUGUUACAGAUAUUUUGGUGUCAUGUUGCUAAAUAUGAGCCGAUAAGAAGUUGUGAAGUGUGAAUAGAAAUCACAUGUUCCUUCCAUCUUUACCAGAGGACUUAAUUUAAAACAUUCAUGCUUCAACAUAUCAUUUACACUAUCUAAGAAAUCGAAUAAUGACUCAGAACCAAACUCUCCGUUAGAUUCCUCUAAUGUGGAACUGAAUUCCUGGCUGAAUAAAAUCUUAAUAGGAAAUGCAUACUAUUACCACAAUCACCUAAAUACAAAAUCACUUUCGUUCCAUUUGUUAAUGCAAAAUACCUGUCUUCACUUUCUAGAAAAAAUAACUAUUUUCAAGAAUAGCCUGUCAAGUUGCUUACUUGACUCCACACAAGAUUACCACCGUAGAGGCUCCAAAUUUUGCAAGUGAGCAUCAUCUUGUGUAAAGAGAGAGGGGGGGAAAAAAGAACAGCUACUUCAAAAGUGAUAACGUACUUUUUCAUGAUUUGCAUCAAAGGCAACCCUCCUGUUAAGAUUCUCCUCCGAUGGGUUCGUAUUCACUAAAAUAUGUUUUGAACCACUUUCAGGAGGCGUUGCUUCCCCAACAGAUGCAAAGCCUGCAGACUUUGACCCUGUAAAUUCCAAUGAACAAUCCUCUGCAACUCCCAAGGUGUUUUGCGUAUGUAGCCCAUCCACAUCUUUUUUCCGCUUGCAUCUUCGAUAAAAAGUAAUUAGUGGAGAGCUCAAUUUGCUUUGCAAGGUUCCAGAGGCACUCAAGCUACCGGGUUUAUCUUCAACAGGCAAACAAGUUUCUUUCAGAUUAAAUUUGUCCAAUUCACUGGCAAUCUUGUAGCCACCAGCAUAAUCUUUUUCAACCGAUGAUUUCAAGCUGAACUGAUGUGUUUCACUUCCAGAAUUGCAAUUUGCAGAAGAAGGAAUGGAACAUUUCAUGGUAGGUCUAUUGCGACGUAUAGAGAUAGAUUUAACAACUGAAUAUGAGGCUUCUUUGAUACUAGCUGACUUUCCAGGAGUAUGUAAAUCUGCAGAGAGUUGGUCGCCAGAAGCAUUCUGAAAGAUGCCUUCUCUCGGACUCGCCUCCAAUACUGCAUGAGAAUCAGCGUCCAACUGUCUCAUAUCGUGUACAAGCAGGUUUUUAUCCUCUUCUAUGCUUGCCUUUUCAGCAGAUACACAGAAAUUUUGCCGUUUGAUGUAACCAGAGUACUGCCUUUUUCCUUCAGAAGCAUGCUUCAAGAGAUAAAACUGCAAAUGGUAAUAAAAUAUCAGUUGAACAUUUCUCUUGCCAGCACAAAUUCUGCAUAUUUAUGUCUAUUGCCAAUAGAAAAGACAUGAAAGGAUAAGAUGCAUUUCUACAGCAUCCAGGAAAUGGAAGCCAAGCGACACUCAGAUCAGGAAAUAUACAAGAAGACCAAUGUUAGAGUAACGAGCCAAACUAGGGAAAUCAGCUUGAUGUCAAGUGAACUCCAUUAAAGAUGAUGAAGAGUUCAGCUUUAGUCCCAGGUUCCCAAUUAAGCAUUAGUUUCUGUUUGUCUGUUCACGUAAUUCUUGGUUGUCAAUAUGACAUGUUUGUAAGCAUUUUACAAAUCGAACUUAUUUGAGGUUAAUAAGUUCUGGGACAAAGGACACCUGGCCCUAUUUAAAAAACUACCCUUCACAUUGAUUAGUGUCCUCCUUUAUGCGUACAGAAUCCUUGAUAGGUUCUAACAACUACCAAAUUCCCAAUUUCCCCAUAUCUCCACCUUCCCAUCAAAAACUCAGAGUGCUGCUUGAUCACUAUAUUGCGCAGUUUAAUACAUUAUUAUCUUCCCUAUUGCAGAACGUAUAGAAGAAAAGAAAAAAAGAAAAAAGAAAAUAUUCCUUUAUUUUCUAAAGAUGAAUUCAGCUAUUCCUAUCUUUUUCCUAAGGGGUUUAAGCCAAGGGAAGUGAUAAGGUGAAAAUGGUAAAUGAGAUUGCUCCGCAACUCUUGUGAACAGUCACCUUUCUCUACAGUUGGCAAGCCGGUUUUUACCUAAUAUAAUGUGCUGAAGACCAACCACUGUAAGACCAAUAACAAAGAAGACAAAGAAUCCUCACUACUAACACCUUCAAUCUUGUGAAAUUGAAUCUCCAUGUACACACAGAUAAAAAAAAAAAAAAAGGCCAACCAAAUUACAUGCAAACAGUUCAGAGUUCAAUCCCUCACACGGCAGAAGCAGAAGUUAGGACCCAACGUUUCAAACUAGCUUCAUAGAAGACUGGUUCUCAACAACCUCUCCCACUUUCACUAUCUCAAACAGUUUCAUACUUUCUUCUCAUUGAGUGGUGAAGACAAUAACUGCAUACUGAAAGUUUAACAAAAGACGUACUUUUCACCAUCAUGUGAUCAAAGGUAGAAAGCGUGGGCAUUCAUCAUUCAAAAAAUGCAGAGCACUUUGGAAAGGAAACAAAAAACCAAACAGCGAAACUCUUAUCUACUCAGCUGCAAAAUUUUGGACUAACAAAGUUGCUUAACAUGGUCCACAUCCCAUUGCUAGUGAAGUUAUGUCAAUAUGCAAACUUUGGCUUACCAUCAAACCAUACAAAGUAAUUAUAACCAAAAAGUAGCUACAUAGCUAUCUUUUCCCACCUGAGGGAAAGUUAAGAGGGCAAACUAAGCAUGGCACAUAGCAAUACUGCAGCAUUUUAUGCUGGAAAAUUUAAGUAUAUCAGUGAAACAAGCAUACAAGACCAAUCUUCUGAUUGCAUUGCAUGAACAAGCAAUAAUAGUUUUGCUGCAACCCCAAAAAAAUCUCAAACUAACAUCGAAACCAAAAACAUCUUACUCUACCAGAGCAAUUCCCACAACCACAACAUGGACAUACAACAUGAAAAAAGAGUAAAAAUUUAAAUAAUUGAAGAUAAUAUUUCACCCCAUCAUUUCUGGCAGGACACUCUGAUCUAUUGUCUUCAGUUGAUUCCUGUUGAUUUUCUGCAGUAGGUGGGGAAUCAGUCCUCGGGAAUUCUGAUUCAUUGUCUUCAGUUGAUUCCUCUUCCUUUUCUGCUGUAUUUGGGGCAUCAUUACUAGGGCAUUCUGAACCAUUGCCUUCAGUUGAUUCCUCUUGCGUUUCUGCCAUAGUCAGGGCAUCAUUCCUUGGGCAUCCUGAUCUAUUGCCUUCACUUGUUUCUUCUUGCUUUUGUGCUGUAGUUGGGACAUCAGUACUUGGGCAUUCUAUAUAUUGCCGUCAGUAGACUCCUCUAGCUUUUCUGCCUUAAUGGAGGGAUCAUUACUUGGGCAUUCUGAAUUAUUGCCUUGAGUUGAUUCCUCAUGCUCUUUUGCUGUAGUUGAGGCAUUAUAACUUGGGCAUUCUGAUUUAUUGCUUUCAUUUGAUUCCCCUUUCUUUUCAGUCGUAGUUGAGCCAUUACAACUGGGGCACCUUGCUGAUGUAUCAGGACUCUCGUUAUUCCAAGAAAAAUCCUUCCUUGAUGGAGGCUUCUUACGCUUGUAUGCAAUCCAAUGCGGUGUCCUCUGACGCUUGUAUGUUAAAAUGACUUUGCCUCCAGUCAUCAUGCAUCACUACAAUCAUAAACAAGUCCUUUUCAUAUGAAAUUGCAUCACAACAAUUAGAAGCUGCAGAUAACAAAUUCACGGAAAUGCACUCACAAUAUCUUAACCCACAAACUUUUUUGCACCUCAAAGUCCUCCUUAUGCAUCUAAAAAUCCUAAUUUGUUACGAUACCCAGUACAAAGAAUGCAACCACACACAAAACUGUCCCAUCUGACUAAAGGAAAAGCCACUAUGCCAUUUCUUGAUCAUCAUACAACAUGAUUAAAGCCCAACUGAGAAGUAUUUAGAAUAUCCCUCAACAAAGAUAGCCUUGCACCAAAGCCCAAUACCAAAGGAAAAGGAAAAAGAAAAUCCGCAGAAGAAAUUUCAUAUACCAUGUCUGAUUUAUACCUGGCAUAUUGCUAACCAUUAAUGCAGACCAAUAACAAAAGCAAGCAAGAAUCUUUACCAAUUCUACAGCACCAUUUUAUCGUUUUAUAAACAAUAAGGGCACAAUUUAACCAUAACACCAGUAUGAAAGAGAAAACCACAAGAUAAUAGCAUGGUUAACAAGAAAAAAGCAACAAAAUUUACAGUGGUCAUGAUCAAGAAGAAAACAGCAGUCAAGUCAUAAUUCAUACUUUCAGGGCAGCAAUUUACAUAAACAAGACCGCACUUAAGAACCCACGAGAAAAAGAAGCUCAAGAAUAAGCAAAAAGACUUACCUUAAGUCUUUCAGAGGCAUAAAAAUGACAUCUUUGGCUGUUCGAAGAAAUGAAAAAAAAAAAAAAAAAAAACUGAAGGAACAGAACAAAUACUGCUAGCUGUUAGCUCCACCUACUAACAGUCAAUCCACAGUAUAUCCAACUACUACUACCAGUAGCAGUGUGUGGUGUUGUGCUUUUUGGCUUGUUUUGAAUGAGAGAAAAGGACAGAGAAGAAAGAUGGGAGACAGAAUUUACUGCUUUGAAUGGAGAGCACAGCGGUAACGUGGUAUGGUAAGACUAAAAAGUGAUGAGAGAGGGACAGAAAAAGCAUACGUUUUUCCUUUAUGUUUUUCUUUUUUUCUUUUAUUCUUUUAAAUUAACUAAUUGAAUAUUGUGUGAGUUACAUUGACCUCCUUUAAUGUUUCUCAAAUUCCAUACAUCGCCCAUAUAAUUUUUGAUAUUAUAGCGUGAUAAUUUAGUUUGAGUGUUACUUCCAUAUAUUGCAUAUCAUAUUGACAUAUAUUACAUAAACAACUUGUAUAUACCAAUUCAAACAAAUAUUUAUUUGCAAGUUUGAAUUCUAAUGCACAAACGUCAAGAGUUUCGCUUUUCUACUAAAAGAAAGCGUAAAAUAUUUUAUUGAAAUUAAAACACUUGAUUGGCUCAUAAAAUAAAGCCAAAGUACUCCACUAAUAAGUAUUUUGAAAAAGAAGUACUCAUGAAAAAGUAAUGGUAACAUAAAUAAAGCCAAAGUAUUUUGUUUUCAAAAGAAAAAGGUAAAGUGAUGUAAUAGCAUGAAUAAUGGGAUAUGAAUUAGUAAAUAAUAUGAGUAAGAAAGAUGCUCCUUAUCAUAUUUUUCAAUUUUCUACAACUACAUAGUCUCUUGAAGAAUGUGAAGAAAGCAUGCAUUUUCCUUUGUGUUUUCCCUUUUUUCUUUUAAAAUUAAUAAUUAAAUAUUAUGCGAGUUACAUUGACCUUCUUGAAUGUAUUUCAUAAUUCCACAUAUGGCUCAUAUAAUUUUUGAUGUUAUGGGAUGAUAAUUUAGUUUGGGAAUCACUUCCAUAAAAUUGCAUAUCAUGUUGAUAUAUUACAUAAACACUUUUGUAUACCAAUUCAAAUAAAUAUCUAUUUGCAAUCUUUGCAUUCUAAUGCACAUACAUUAGGCCUUUUUUGAAUUGCUGUUUUCAAUAAAAAAAAAUUUUACAUUGUUCAGGAACAUAUUUCUUAUUUUUAUCCCACAUAUAUCAAAUUGUUGUAGAAAAUUUUUUCACAAAAAUUCCUAAUAAUAACAAUUCAAACGAGCUCCAAGAGUUUCACUUUUCUACUAAAAAAAAGUGUAAAAUAUCUCAUUGAAAUUAAAACACUUGAUUGGCCCAUAAAAUAAAGCCAAAGUAUUUGACUAAAUAGUUUUGAAAACUACAAGUCUCUUGCAGAAUAGAAGAAAUUAUCCUCAGAAAAAAAAAACUCAUAAAAGAAAUUACUGCAAUUUUGAAAGUAUUGUUGACAGUUGUGCAAUUAAAGCAAGUACAGGGGGAGCGAGAGCAAUUCUUUCACUAAUUGCUUUUCACAACUCACUUCGAAAGUCGAAACAAGUACGUCGUCGUACGUUAGAUCGUCGAGCGGAGGAAGGAAAGUGGGGCCCCAACAUCGUCUGGCAGGUGUGGGGCAGGUGAUGUGGACUACUGCUGCCGGGAGGUUACAUCACAGUCUUCAAUGCUGAGGUUUUUUCUGGAACUUCUGACUGUGACUGAGGGCACGUGAAGCGCAUGUGAACCACACUGCAGCAACGGUGCCCGCCAAAGCAAAAGAUAAAGGAUUUGAUUGAUUGAGUUAAUUCUUUGUUUGGCAGAGUAUUAUUCUUUGAAUAAUUACGUACCACUUUUUAUCAUGUAAUAUAUAUGAGAUAAAAAGAUGAUUAGAAAUAUAAAAAUAUGAAUUAAAAAAUAUAUUUAUAAUACAAGUGAAAAAAAUUUGCUAUCCAAACAUAGUAAAAGUAUCCACUGAUAAUGUAUACAUUAUCACGAUUAAAUGUGUAAUAUAAGAGAAAUUUUAAAUUCAUAUGAGUUAUCAUACAUUUAAUGACGAUGAUAUAUACACGAUCAGUGUACAGAAGACUAAUCAAAUUUUUUUUUUGGAUUGCAAUUUUUUUGGAUUUUUGUAGAAAAAUUACUAUAGCGAUUUGAUAUAUGUGAGGUUAGAAGGUGAUGAAAAAUUGUGUCCACGAAGAAUGUAGCAAUUUUUCAAAGCAAUCCAAACGAAUAUAAACUUAUUUUUCAAGAGGUGAAAACUGCAUUCAACAAAUACAUUGAAUAUAAUUUUUUAUUUGUGUUAGUUUGUUUGGAUAAUUUAUUAUUUAUACAAAUUUAUUUACUUGCAUCAUAAAUAUAUUUUUUAAAUUAUUUUUAUUUUAUAUAUAUCAUAUCAAAAGAAUGCUAAGAUAUUUUUUUUCCAAAAAUAAUUCUAAAUAAUCUGUCAUCCAAACACUUAUCCUAAAUAUUUCCUCUAAGUCCCUCUCAUCUAUCCUAUUCUUAUGACUACACAUUAAACUCAGUAGCAAAUUUGAUAAUGUUUUAAAUCAUUCAAAACAUCUAUCACAUUUUGCCACAUAAAUUUUUUCGUCAUUUACUUUUAAAUUAGCAAUUUUACAUCCCUUACAAAAUUAAAUCGAUAAAUCCCAAGCUAAAUUUUCACCAUUUUUUACCCUAAAUCCAUCAUGUAAUCCAUAUUUUGUCUUUUUUUAGGGGCAAAAAGAUUAAUCUCAAUUGUAGUUUAAAAAAAUGACCGGAUUCAUGUUUAUUUUACCCCUAAAAUAGUAUGAUCUGAUCCAAAUUAUAUUUAUUUUUCAUAAAAAAUAGGAUCGGAUGCAAUCUAUAUUUAUUUUUGUCACUAACAGAUAGGAUCUGAUCUUUUUUUACGUAAACAAUAACUACAUGUAGAUCACAUGGUCAUUUUCAAACUAAUAAGUGGUUAGAAAUUUAGGUUGAGGUCCAAAUUUACCGAUUUAAAUUUGUAAGGGAUGAAAAAUUAAUAUUUUAAAAGUGAAUACUGAGUAAUAGAUAAGUAUAGUAAAAGCAGUUAUGUGAACACCUGAGUGUGGAACAUGAGAUGGUGAGCAACUGAGUGUGAAACAUGAUAUCGCUGUACGUUACUCCAUCAUGCAAGAGUGAUAUCGAAAUAACAAUUAAUGACAGUUUUUAUUUAACACCAAACCCAUCUAUAUCUAUAUGUAUUCAAGAAAGGGUUUUUAGCAGAAACCCUCUAAAUGGCAUCUAAAUUUCUCAUUCUUUUUUCUAGAUUUUUGUAUUUAUUUUAAUACAUAAAAAGUAGUGGGUUAUAACCCACCUUAUCACCAAAUAAAUUUAAAUUUAAAAUAUUCCCACUAUCUCUUAACUCAUCCUACAACCAUUCCUACAAAUCCUCUAAUCAUCAUCCCACGUUUCCCCUACAUUUCCUCCUACGUUUUCCACUCCAAUUAAGAGUCCACUCCAAUUAAGAGUUCUCUAAUUUAAGAAUUCCACUCCUAUUAAAACUCCUCUAAACAUAGUAUGCUUCUUCAAUUUUCUUGCAUGCUCAUUCAUAUUUUUGGUUAACCAAAACAAGCAUCUGUUAUCUCUUUCAUCUUUCUUGUGGUGUCAAUCUUAGUUUUAUUAUUUUCGAUUAUUUCCAAUACUAUAAUAUGUCUCUAAUUUUUUUUUCAACCCUUUUACUGAUCGACUUAAUUAACUUAUCGAGUUAAUUCCCCCACCAUCUCUCUCAGUUUCUUCUUUGUUUUUGGUUCUCUAUUGAUUUUGUUUCUUUUGUGAGCAGUUAUGGCAGAGAUUAUGUGCAGAGACUUAAGUAGAAAUCAAUCUUCUUGUGGAGAACUGGAAGUAUAUGCUUGCCGGCUUAAUUUUUCAGAUCGGUCCCCUCUGCCCCUCCUUUUUGUCACAUUUUGUUUUUCUUUUAAGGUGAUUUGGUCUUUUACUUUCUUUAUUUUUUCUCCUUUUAUUUUCUGGGCUGGCAGAUGGUUUUGAUUGUAUACAUGAUCAAUGCUUUAUUUGUAAUAACCUGGAGAAGUAAUUAACUUAAAUCUUGAAAGGGCUUUAGUGCUAUGCCUUGAUUGACUCGAGCCAGCUCGAGCUCGAUUCGAGCCGCUCGAUUCGUUUGUAGCCCUAUCCACAGGAGACCAAGUUCAUAUAUAAAGUUACUUUUGCCUCCGCAGUCCAACUUAAAAAACCUGAUCCACGGGGCCACAUUAGUCAGAAUCAUAUGGUUUUGGCAUUCGUACUAAAAGUGGAUUGGUGUGAAGAGUGUCCGCACCUUCAAGUAAGAUUAUCAAAUCGAAUGCUUAGUAUUUUUAAGUAUUUCAUUUAACAACAUUCAAUUACAUUCAUUUGUAGAAAUAUAUCAUUCCCUUUUUUAAUAUAAAAUUUUAUUUUUUUAAGAUCUAUCUUCCGAAAAAAGACAGUUCUUCAAUGAUAUACACAUUCUAUUAUAUUUUAAACUAUUGUUAAACAGAUGUUACAUUUUUUUUUGUUGGUACAAAUUUUUCACCUUUAUUUGUUCACCAUUUUAUUUUUUUCAAUAAUGUCAGCACUGUAUGUAGCAUGGGUAUUCACGCUAGUUGCUUAUGUAUUAUAUAUAGAAAAAUGCGCAAAAAAGGUCAAGUCAUCCUAUGACCUCUAUCAACAUUUUCUGGUUGAUUUCAAUUUCUUUGUUGGAUAAAAAAGAAAGAGAGAAUAAUCAAAUAAAUUUCAAUCAUAAUUUGGUUAAAGGAGGUAAACUAAUUAAUUCAAUAUUUCACUUACCCAAUUUCCUAGUUUUUUUAAACCUUUUUCUCUAUUAUUUUUACAUGAUAAAAGGGAUAUUAGGAUUGAAUAAAAUAGGUCGAGUCAAUAUAGUUGUGUCAAAUCCUUAUGUUGAUCUUUUUAUUGCUUUAAAAUUCAUCACAUGUAGUCCAUGACAUUUUUUUGGUAAAAAGGUAAUCGAAGCUAGAAUUUUGGGAUCAAACAAGUGCAUUUUACUUUUACGAAUUAGAAAAAAUACAUCAUUUUAAAAGUGAGAGAUAAAAAUGUUAAACAAUAAAAUGGAACUAAUGUUUGGUGCACUUUUCCAUUAUUAAUAUAUAGCAUUUAAAUGGUGUAUUUUUUAUAUUUGUCUAUGAUUUUACUAUAAUUUAUUAUAGAUUUUUUACAAAUACUUUUAUGUAUUUCAAAGUAUUUGAAAGAUAUUUAUAAGACUCUGUUGCUUUUCAUGCGCCAUCUACAAUGCCACUCGUCCCAACGCAUGCGCCAACCACAACGCCACUCACCUCUUACGCAAAACUCAUCAACAACCAUCACCACUUCUCCCCUAUUCGCUGCAGUUCUUCCUCGCCAUAUCCCCUUUACUCACUUCUACCAUAUCCUCCUCUAUGCCUCCCUUUUCUUGUCUACUACCUCUAUCACACCACUCUCCAUCUGUAAUCACCUUCACCCGUUCAUCUUCUUUCCUACUGCCAUUCUUUCCUUCCUCUUCUAUUUUUUUUCCUUAUCUUCUUCUACCCCAUCUCCUUUUCCCUCACCUUUUCCCACGACCCUCAUCUUUUCUCGUGUUAGAUUCAAACUAUAUUUGGUUCAAAUAUGACAGAGGUAAAAGGUGGAGAUCGCAGAAAAAUAGGGUUAUGGGGAGACGAGAAGGGGUAGAAAGAAAAGGAGAAGAAGAACGAAGGGAAGAGGGAAGAGGUCGAGAUGAUUAGAGAGGAGAAUUGGGUGGUAGAGGAAAGGAGGAGACAAAAUGAGAAGGAAAGGGAGAGAGAAAGAAGGAAAGAAAUGAAAGAGAGGGAGUGACGGAUAAUGGAGGGGAAAGAGGUGAUAGGGUAGGAGGAGAAAAGAGAGAGAAGGAAAGGUAGCAACAAUAAUAAUAGGAUGAGGUGGAGACAGCACUGGUGGAAGUAGAAAUGAUUAGGGAUGAUGGUGAUGGAAGAGGGAACUCUGUGCGUGUUUUUGGGUAUUUUGAAACGUAUAUUUUUUUUUUUAAAUUUAAGGUGUUUUAACAAGUUCGUGUAACAAAAGUUGAAAAAAAAUUGUCUAAAACAUGCAAAAAACAAAUAUGUAAAAAUAGAGAUGCCAAACAGAUCCAUAAUUUGAAUAUUUAAUAUGUAUAAUCUAGUAAUAUACAAAGGGUAAGAUAUAAGUCCACCAACAAAGGCAAAAGAAGCAUCAAAUUAGUCUUUUUUUCCCUAAUAAAUAUCCAAUGCAUAAUUGCUAUCAUACAAAAUCUAUCACUUAUUUGUAAAUAGUCUGAAGGCCUGUUGCAUUUAAAUAUUUUUUUCAUGGGUUUUUUUGACAUAUGUACUCAUUAAUAUAUUUGAAUUAUACUCAAUUUAACAUGUAAAUAUACAUAUUGACAAUUACUGUUCUACCUUUCACAUAUUCAUUUCUCUUAUUUAAUUUUUCAAAAUAUUAAUAUUUGAACUUUAUCUUAACGAGUACCCACUUAUUCUAUUCAAUGCAACUUUUUUGAAAAAAUAAAAUACCCGAGUCACUUUUUACGAGUGCUCGGUAGGCAUCAUUUAAAUAAAACUAAUUAUGAACUGUCUAAACAAAUAUUUGUCAUUAUGAUUUACUAUCCUAUCUUUUAAGCACCAAAACUUUUCAUUCUUUCAUUCUUUUUGGAAAAAAAAAGGUGUAAAUUCAGACCUUGCUUAUCAAUGUUUGCAUUGGAGAGGAUAGCCAGGCACAUAAUUUUCAUAUUAGAGAGGAUCUCGUGGUAACUUUCCUAGUACUAAAUUAUUAUUAUUUUUAAAAUUUCUAUUGCAUGAUAAGCAGACAUUUUGUCAUUUUUAAUUAUACUUUUAUUUUAUUAUUUUUUAUCUUACAUACAUUACAUUAUCAGAAUCCUAAAUUUUUGUUUCUUGAAUAAUUUUAUAUCCAAACAAUAUAUUAUUUUAUUUUUAGUAAAAUUUUUUCCAAAAUUGUGAAGGCCAUUACUUUCUACCAACUUAACCAAGUUUGUGCUCGCAAGUUUGAGUAUAUGUAUAUAUAUAUAUAAUAUAUAUAUUUUACUAGUAAAAUUACAUAUAUUCCUAAUAUUUUAUUAUUAUUAAAAAUAUUUUUUUUAUUUUUUAAAAAAUAAAACAAUUAUUUUUAAAAAUAAAAAUUAUUAUAUUUCAAGCUCGAUCUCGACUCAAAUUUGAUGGGGGUGUUUUUCAAAAACUAGUUUUUCAAAUACAAUAAAAUUUUUUAAAAAGUACUCUAAAAGGUAAUUUAAAAAUUAGUUUAAAUUUUUUUAAAAUUUCUAAAAAUUCUCAAAAUAUAUAGUAGAAACUCUUCUACUAUUGGAUUAGCUGUUUUUGAAAAACUUUGCUGUAGUUUUUAGAGUAUAUUUUGGAAUAUUUUUAGAAAAUAUUUUGAGAUAUUUAAGAGCAAAAGAGUUUCUAGAAUAUAUUUUGAGAUAUUUUUUAAAAAUUUAAACUAAUUUUUAGAUUACCUUUUAGAGUAAUUUUUAAAAAUUUUUAUUGUAUUUGAAAAACUAGUUUUAAAAAACACUCCAAAAAAGGUGAUCCAAACAGAGCCUCUAUUAUAGCAAAAUUUUUUAAAAAUAUCUUCAAAAAUAAUUAAUUCAAACGAAAAAAAUUAAGUCAAAACUCCGCUCGACUCUAUUCAUUUGCAAUUUGCAGCACUACUUCGGACACAGGAGGAGCAGGUGGACAACGACCAGCCUAUUGGAAAGUCACCAAGACGCCAACACAGACGUGUCUUCCAACGGUUUCCUUUCCCAAGUCUCAAACUCCAACAAACAACGCCAAAGUAGUCCCACCCCCCGCUUGUUUUUCCCCCCUUUUCUGAUUUCUUUCCCCGCAAAGAAUCCUUAUCAAAUGUUAAAGAAGAAUAGAAGAUAAAAAGAAAACAAAGAAAGCUAAAGGAGAAGCGUAUUGGCAAACUACUCCUUCCUUCCCCUUCACCUAUCUUUCCCUUUCUCGAUUUAUUCCAUUUUCCCAUAAACAAAAGAAACCCCCACUUACCACCCACAUUCACUUUUCACAUUCCCUCAUCCUUUUUUUAACGCAACCAAGAUGUACGCUAUUGGAUAUCAAGAGCAUUGUUGAGUCUUUUAUCAAAGGAUAAACAUCGACUAGAUACAGGGCCUUUUUUCUUGUUCCCUGUUUUAGUCAUUAGCGUUAAUCAAUGGCAGAAUCAUCAGACAAUCACUAUGGCCCUGCUGCGAAGAGUAGUAGUUCAGGGGAAGUUGACGUGGACCAUGAAGUGGAAAUUGUUGAAGAAAAUGGAAAAGCUAGCAGCAAUGUAAAUGCAUCACCCCGGUACAAGGAUAGCAUUGGCGAUCAUUCUUUGAGUUCCGCAGGUUCUUUCUUCUAUUUUUGCCAAAAGGGCUACUUUUAAAUUCGUAGGAAGCAUUUUUUUUCCAGGGCCAUUUUGUAUUUCUGAUCAUAUAUGCUGGUUUAAGAUUUUAGAGUGUCCUAAUUUAGUGAGUAUGAAUAAGAACAGGUGAAUCUGUGAACCGUUACGAUUUUUAUUUUUGUUUCUGCCAGUGAUAUGCAUGUAAUCCCAUUGAUUCCGAUGGUUGCGAAAAAAGUGUUCUGCAAAGCUUAUGACAGUGGUGCAAUUGUCAAAACCCCUGUCCCUUAAGUAUGGUUUGAGUUUUGACAGGGAUGAUCAGUCCUAAAUAAUAAACUGAGAUCACUAGGUAUGGCAGUUUGUAGGUCGUCAAGUAGCUAUUGAUACUGUAAAAUGUGUCAGAUAGUUAUUGUUCCGCAUGUACAUGUGCAUCAUCAUGUAUUGGGUCAUUGGUUUUUGAUAGUUUUAGUGUUUGGAAGAGUAAUUUCUUGAGAACGAUACAGAUCGCAGCUUUCUGUGAUAGGAAUCAUAUCAUCUAGUCAAGAGGUGUUCCCAGUGGCCUUGAAUUAUUAAAUUGUCUCUUCGGCAACAAUGAUAUGUUUAGGAAGUUUCUUUUAUUCUUUCAACAAGCAAAAACGGAUUGCUGGAAAACUUAGUGUUAGCACGAUGAUACAAGGUGAUCGUAAAUGAGGUCUAUUAAGCAACACGAUGAAGAAUUGAAAGUGAUUCUAAUACAACAUAUUCAUAGAAAUAGGUUUUUGGAAGCACUAAUUCAUUAUUCAACUCAGCUUCCUCACUUGAUCAAGAAAUUUUAUGCUUGUUUGUUGGAUUUUGUACAUUUCACUGUGCGAAUUUAGCAUAUUGUCUAAACUUAUGCACUCUAAUUAGCCCCGAUUUCUGAUUACAUUUUGGUUUCUUAAGCUGAUCCAGUGACCACACUAAGCCACUGUUUGCAUUCUUAUUUUGCUCGAUGUUAUCUGGUUUUCCCCAGGAUCCACUGCCAAGAAUUUGCCUGAGCAGAAUCUUGCAUCUGUUGGAGACUCAGCAGUGGAAAAUGUUAACCCUACUUCCAGUCACUUAGCCGAGCUACAAAGCUUGGAAAGAAUAAUGGUCUUGGAUAUUUGGCCUUGAAGCUUUUUGAUGAAAGAUUUCCUCUAAAGAAAAAGGUUGGUAUAACCUGAUAACUGUAGCUUGUAUUCCUCAAUUGAUUUUUUUUAAGAGGCCCCUGUACUUUCCUUUAUAAUUUCUAGUCUAAUUAAGGAUAAACUUCCGGGCACUAGUUGUUUUUUGAUUGAGUUAUCUUGUACUUCUUCAGGUGGUUAUUUAAGAAAAUUGAAAGUAUGAUGGACUAAUAAAUAAGGACAGGGAGAGUGGUGACAUGAAAUGCUUAAAAUGGAUAGUAUAGUAAGAGGAAAGUUGAAUAGAAAGAGCAAAAUAGAAAAGAAAAGGCAAAGUACAUUAGCAGUUGGAGGAGGGACUAUGAUCUAAGCAAGUUUGAAAGGAAAGUUAUGGGAACCAUAUUUCUAAUUAUUUUUUUUCUAAUUAAUAAAUCCUGUUUUCUCUUAUAAGUUCUAUUAGAUCUUUUUUCUUUCUUCCUUGUUUUAACUUGUGUAUCCAUGUGCCACUUGGUAGUUUGUUAUCAAGGAUUGACCUUUAUGUUCCAGAUACAUAUUUCUUUUCCUGGAAGAAUAUACCCUCAAAUUGUAUUUGAGCAUCUUCAUUCCUUAUUGCCUCAGUUGUAUGAGUAACAUGCAUGUUUAGGGAGAAGUGGUGGGGGUAAUCUCCAAUAGGAAACAAUUCUUUCAUGAAAUAAGCUGAUCAUAUAGGUACUUAUACAUGAAAAUAGUCCUGAGGUUGAAUAUCUUGAGGUGAGAACCAUGAUACUUAAAGUACAUGACUAAUUAACCUAGCUCAUAAAUGGGGCUUUAGAUAGAUUUGUAAGAGUACAAGUAGGUAACUAGAUUGGACUCAGCAGCCAGAAUCGGUCUAAAUUUCCUUCAAUGACAAGGAUUACUGUUCCCUUGACUCCUAUAAUUAAAACCAAUUAUUUCUAGAGUUGACGAGUUGAUGUUUCAUGUUAACAAUAGAUAAAGUUAGUAAAGACUCUUAUAAUCACAAUGGACAUCCUUCUUUCCAUACGAAGAGUCUUCUUGCUUGGAAAGCGCCCUAUGGCCUGUCCCUUUGGAUCAAAGGCUAUAUUUUUCUUCACCAUUUAAUGGCCUUUCUGCAAAUAUUAUUACCUCUUUCUCCAUUAAAAAAAACAUUUUUUUUUUUCUGAACCCACAUUGUAAUGUUUAUCAUGCAGCUCAAGUUGCUGAACCGAUUUGCAUCUGUUCAAGAUGAUGGAACCGUGCAAUUUGAAGUUCCUGGAAACUUAAACCCCAAGCUCUUGAUUUAGGUACUGGAGUUAUGUAUGAUGGAUUAGAGUGUGAAGAAUCUACCGGUGCAGGAGAUAUACAAGACCUACCUCCAUUGCAAAUUGUUAUGCUUAUAGUUGGGACACGUGGAGAUGUACAACCCUUUGUUGCCAUUGGGAAACGUUUACAGGUAAGUUGUUUCUUUUGAAUUAGAACAGGAAUAUACAUCACAGACACAUUUUGUAAUUUGACGACUUCCUUUUGAAAAAUAUCGGCGGCCUCAAUCAUGAAUUUAACCUUCUGAGCGCUGCGCUAUGUGCCUACCUCUUUGAUUGUGUCUUCUGCAGCGAGGAUGGCCAUAGAGUGAGACUAGCAAGCCAUUCUAAUUUUUAAAGAGUUUGUUUUGGCUGCUGGAUUGGAGUUUUACCCUCUUGUGGAGAUCAAAAGUUCUUGCUGGUUGUAAGUAUAUCAUUGACAUUGGGUGAUAUCAUGAUCAUCUUCUGAAAAGAUUUUUCCUUGUCUGUUUUUUUCUUUAUCAUAUACUAAAAUGACAUCUAGGCAUAUUUAUACAUGAAGAGGAAAUAAGUAGGUUAAAAACAGUUUGAUUAUAAGUAUGAUUUCCAUCCAUUUGCUUUGGUUCCAUUAAAGCCAUAGUUUAGUGUGGCUCAGUCAUGGAAUCAGAUGUAGCAUGAAUACGCUAAAAAAAUGCCAACAAAGUGGGGUUGGAAGGGGAUAGAAGAUUGAUCCUAUGUGAUAUAGAUUCCCAUAAUCAGUAAGUAAAUUGACCAAUAAAGGCAUUCUUAUGGAGUCUAGGUUUUGGUCAUCUUUUGCAUUUCCAAUCACAAGGAUAAGUUUCUCUUGAUAAUAAAUAAUUAGGAGUUUGUUCUCCUCAUGCGAUGCAAUUGGUUCAGUGCAGGUCUGUUGAUUAUUAUUUUUCAUUGCUUUUAGAAUCCAACUGGAGUAACUUUUAGCCCAAUCCCAUUUUUUUCUGUGAAAAAUAGUUUGGUGAUUUGAAUAAGGAGUGGAGUGUGUUCUGUGUAUGGUUAAGUCAGAUAAUGAGAUGAAUUAUAAUCUUGUACUAAAUUGUGAGAUGCUAGGACUUUUGGGAUAAUUUAUUUAGUUUUCUUGGAUACUUUGUAUCAGUUAAAUCUUGGUCCUGUGGCAGAGGAAUCACAGAAAAACCUGUAGCAAUGUGCUGGUUGUUUUGUUUUCUGGGAAAAUUCUGGGUAGGUUGCAAUCUUUAGGGUGGUAUGAUGAUAGUAGAAUAAUAGGAUCUUUACACAUUGAACACUGCCUUUGGUUUCUUGCCAACGAGCAAUGUUUAUUUAUGAAUUGUCUUAUAGUUCUUAUGUAGCUUUUGACUUUUUUUUUUAAUAUGAUUAGUGUACCUCUUAGUUGUGUCACUUCUCCACAAUUGUACAAUUACAUAUUAUGUAGGUAAUUUGUAAAUGCAGAGAUGUCACUAUAGUUAAACUUGAGUGCAUUUCUGAAAAAGUUGUUGCCGCUGUUGAUGUUCUUUUCCCUUUUUCAUUGUAUAUUUUUUUUCUGAAUAUUCAAUGAUGAUCGGGGAUUCAAUCUGUUGUUUGUUAUUGCUGAUGUGUAUUGCAGACAUGGUGAAGAACAAAGGAUUCUUGCCUUCUGGGCCUUCUGAAAUUCAUAUCAGCGAAAUCAAAUUAAAGAAAUUAUAUUCUCUUUACUUCCUGCAUGCAUGGAUAUGAUCGAGAAACAAAAGUUCCAUUCAAUCCAGAUGCUAAUUGCAAAUCCCCCUGCUUACGGUAAUAAUGUCUUCUAAAUUAUCUUGCGUCCUUGCUCCUUUAUCUCCUUCCAUUCAUGUCACAUUCUAACAGAAGAUUAAGAAAAUAUAAUUGCAUGAUUGUCACCGAUAAAUUGCGCAUUCUUAACUGACGUUAAGGAAUUCCUGUGUCUAGAUAGUGUUUUUGCUCAACAUUAUGAUCUUUUCUUGGAUUGUGCUUUUCUGCUCCAAUAUUGUUUUAUUUGGAAUUUCUGUGAUUCGUGUUUGAUAUGCACAAAGGACUUUGUUAUUGAGUUGGAUCAAUGUAACAUUGUCUACAAACAUGUUGAUAGUUCUCCUUCAACUAUUCAGUUCUAUUUCAGGACAAGCAUGUUGCAGAGGCCACUAAAAGUACCACUUCAUAUAAUUUCACAAUGCCUUGGACGUGAGUUUUAUCGACUCUUCUUUCUUUAACUCUUACCUUUCUGUACAUCCUAAUUUAAUGUUAUUAGGGUUAUUUUGGUAUUGUCGGUCCCCUAUGCACUUAUAUCAUACUGUAGCAAGAUGAUGGAUGCUUUUAUUAUGUUUGACUUCUGCAGGCCAACUAGUGAGUUUCCACAUCCUCUAUCUCGUGUGAAGCAAUCAGUUGGAUAUAGAGUAAGCACAGUUUGAUGCUCUUUUGUCAUCUUUUAUUUUGUUUAUCUUUGUCUGUUUGGUUAUAAGUAUUUAGAUGUGGAAAGUCGGAUACUUUUUCUGCCAGCUAUCAUAUCAGGUUGUUGAUGGACUAAUAUGCUUGGGAUACGGGAUGUGAUAAAUGAUUUUAGAAAGAAAAAACUGAAGCUAAGGCCUGUCACAUACUUAAGGGUUCUUACAGUUCACCGCUUGAUGUGCCUUAUGCAUAUAUUUGGAGUCCAGAUCUCGUCCCAAAACCAAAAGGUCAUUCUCUGAAUCUAUCUUCUAACAUCCAAGUUUAAUUAUUUUAUGCAACUUUAUCUUGUAGGCAGCUAUUACUUGGGCAUUGGUAGAGCAAUUGGAAUUGUUUUUCUUUCUUGUCAAUGACAACUUCCUGUUUUACCCCUGCUGAAUGCUAUUUGAGAAAUUUAUAAAAAAUUUAUAAAGUUUUGGCUCAAAAUGAAGCUUGCUCAAUCUACAAUCUGAAAUACCUAAAUAAGUACACCUUAAACAAGAGAAAGAGCAAGGCCACAGGACCAAGAAUUCACAAUUGGCUUGAAGUAAAAAUUCCACUGUUAAUCCAGGUGAGAGGAUAUGUAUGGCUUCAAGGCAUUAAAAAAAAGCUAAAAAUUCAAGUAUUUGCAGCAUCAACUUUACUCUAUGGACCCACCGAAUAAUGUCACUAAUAGAAAAUUUUAGUUGCUUAUCAUACAGCAAAAUCAAGAGAGAGUAGCCAUGAGACCUGCAAAAUCCAGAUCAGUAGUUCUAGAAAAGUUUGAAUGAUUUGAAUGUCUUGAAUAUCUUUGAUAUUUUGGAAUGCUUUACCUGCAAUUUCCUUAGCUUUGUUAUUAGCAUUAUGUUGCAUCUACAACCAAAGUUGCUGGAUGCGAAAUUGAAAGACUUACUGUUGAUGUGCUAAAAAUGAUGUGUAUUCAAAUAAUUCAAUGUUUGAAAGUUAUUUAACACAUUAUAUUUGGCUCUCAUUGCUUCUUUUUGCUCUUUUCUAUACUGUAUGCUUUAUCUUGUUCCUAUUGGAUAAAAUACAAUUGGACUCAGAUAACUCUUUUAUGAUAUUUUUGUUAUAGUCCAUUAUUGAAGGAAGUUGUCAUUGCUUUUAGUUUCUUGCAUUCUUGUUGGGAAGUCUAAAGAGGCACAACAACAGAAGCUGCUAUUGCAUUAAAGUUAUUCUGAUUUGUUUUGUGUGUCUUGCAGAUUGGGGACCCAAAGUUGAUGUAGUUGGCUUUUGUUUCCUAGACCUUGCAUCAAAUUAUGUUCCACCUGAUUCACUUGUAAAAUGGCUUGAUGAUGGUGAAAAGCCUAUUUAUAUUGGCUUUGGCAGUCUUGUGAGUUCUAUUUCUAAUCAUUAUAUAUUCUUUUAUCGCAUCGUCUGAUGGCUAUUUUUUUAAUUUCAUUUUAGUUUAUAUUUGUUGGUAAUGUGUCUACAUAAAAUACUUGAGAUGAACUAUAAAAGGUUGUUAUUUUCUUGACCACCCAAUAAGUACUCUUAGAUUGCCCAAAGUACGAAAUUGAUGUCUAGAGUCAGUGAUCAACUAGGGAACUUACUAGCACUCUCAAUCCUGACAUUAUAGUAGAUUAAUACAUGAUCUGUACAAGAGACAGCUGCUUCUUAAUCGUAAAAUACUUGCACAAAUAGCUAUAUCAAAUAGGAAUUGUCUUUAUAAGAUUUCCAAUGAGUUUAUAUAUAUAUAAAGAAGUCGAUUGUAAAGAAUCCAGUGGAAUAAUUUAAACAGACUUGUGCUGGAGUUCAUUCUCUGGGAAAGCAGAGUCAAAAUUACUAUAAUAAAAAAUGCUAAAGUAGUCAAAAAAUAAUGAAUGUGUUCAAGAAAAAAAAUGAAUUGGAGAAAGCUUUUUUUUUCGAAAAGGAGGUCUACUUUCCUUCUUUGGCUGCAUUUCAGAAGAGUAAGGCUACUUUAAUUUAACAUAGCUGUCUGUCUAGAGUGGCCACAGUGGGUUGAAUAAGAGCACAUUUAUUGAUGCUGCACGACUGCUUAGUGAGUGAAUUUACUGCAAUGACGAUGUGGGGCUCAUUCUAAUGCAUGACUAUUUGUUCUCAAACCUUUUUGAAAAGCGAUGUGGGGCUUAGGUUCUUAAAACUGCCCAUUGCUGUGAUUCAGUAUUGACAAGAGCCCUGGAACUUGGAAGGGGCUUUACAGGAGCCCAUGACACAAAUUGAAGUGGCCAAUUGAGUCCAUGAAACUGGAAAGUGCUCAGAUUAGUUCAUGUAAAAGCUGGAAGGGCUUGACAUGACAUGAUGAGCUGAAGUUGCUAGUAAGGCCUCGUUGAGUUAUAAGUUAAGAAACAGCAGAACCCUCGAGAGGAAUGAAUCUGCAAGGAAAAUUCCGAAUCAGUUGUAGACUUGUGGACAAAGAGUUUAACUAACACCCAGCUCUGAUACCUUGUUAACAAGCCCACUCAAAGCCAAUUGAUAAUAAGUGGAUUGGCACAAGACCUAAUUAACUCGUCUUAAACCCUCGGAAUAAUGUGGGUCCUAGUCUCUAAACAAGGACAAACACUGGGUACUAAAUUUUCUCAUUUCAAAAUUUUCUGAGUCUCCUUUAAUAUGAGCUUAAAGUCACAAGCAAGUCCUCCAGCUUCUAGUCUACUCAUAAAAUGUUGAUUCAUCUUGGAGGAAUAUGAGUCAUUUGUUCAAGCAUUCUGAAGAUGCUGAAAUUUCCAAUAUAUACUUAAGUAGCUUUCAGCUUGUGCCUUUUUUCCCCAAGUUUGUUUUAUAAGAGGUUGUCCUUUACUUUUUAAACUUUGUCAACACACAUACACACACAUAUAUUGAGAACAAUUACAUAUCCAUAUCAGCUUCAUAGAGCUUAAUUCUCUCCUGUUUUGAUCAUUUUUAUUUUAUUUUUUUGGUACAGCCUGUACAAGAACCAGAAAAAAUGACUGAGAUAAUUGUUCAAGCUUUGGAAAUGACAGGACAAAGAGGCAUCAUCAACAAAGGCUGGGGUGGUCUUGGAAACUGUAUGUUGUUGCCUUAUAGUUUUUAUUUAUUUUUUUAAUUUGGGCUAUAUGUAUCCACCUUUUGGUUUACCCUAGUCAUUUGAUAUCUUUAUCCUGGGUACAUUAGCCCUUUUCUUUUGUCCUCCAUAAUCUUACCAACUCUUUCUUCUUUUUUCACUUAUUUUCAUUUCAGUGAAAGAACCAAAAGACUUCGUGUACUUGUUGGACAAUUGCCCUCAUGAUUGGUUGUUUGUACGAUGCGCAGCUGUGGUAAAUCUUCUUUGUAGUUGCUCAGUAUUUGAUCUUGUUAAAGUUGGAAGAGCAUUCAUCUGUGGAAAACUUGUAUAUAUAGCUUGUUUGGUAAUAUGAGAUUACAUUCGGCAUGAUGACACUAACUCAUGGUUUCAACUGAUCAGAGUCCUCAUGCUAGGCAUCAUCCCUGUAAUUGCUUAUGCUACAUAGUUUUGAAAUUCUUGUGUCAGGAAUUGUUGUUAAGGCUAGCUCUUUUAGUACAGCAUGGAACGUGAUUGAUAAUAUUGCUGCCUUGCAUUUGUACAACUUCAGCUGUUUGUUGGAUUUUCAUUUGCUGAGACGUGACUCCGUAGUACUGGUGGUUUUUAGUGCCUGUUCUUUUGUUUUUAAUAAUCUAAACUAGUUUCUGCAAUGAUUUUAUUUUCUUUGGCUCCAGUUUUUAGUUUAUUCCAAGCUGGAAAAUGUUGAUUCUUAGAAGCAGUCCUUGAGAUGCCUUGGCUUUCUCAAAACAAAAAUAUUGAUUCAAUUCACUAAACAGCUUUUCCAAUGAUCACUGUCAUUAAGAAGCUUCAGAAAAGCCGAAGCAAAUGAAUUAAUGCCCUAAUCUUCUCUUGUUACAUUCCUGCUCAUAAAUGUAGUCUUACCUGUACUGCUAGUUAAUAAACAACUUUUGGAAAGUUGAGUCUAGUUUAAGUUUACGUUGUAGAAUAUUUUUUUUCCAUAUAUGGAGCUCUCUUACAAUUGCUACCUUGUAUUCUGUUUUUGCACAAUCUUCAGGUGCAUCAUGGAGGGGCAGGAACAACAGCAGCUGGUCUUAAAGCUGCGGUAAUUCCUGUGCUAUAUACCAGUUGUAGUUUUUUGCUUUUGGAGCUUACUCAUUUCUUCCUUAAUAAUACAACUCUAGUGCCCCACAACUGUUGUACCAUUCUUUGGAGACCAACCAUUUUGGGAGACCGUGUUCAUGCCAGGGGAGUUGGUCCUGCACCCAUUCCUGUGGAUGAGUUUUCACUUGAAAAGUUAGUUGCUGCAAUCAAUUUCAUGCUGGAUCCAAUGGUAAUGAGAAAUUCAACCAUAAUGAUUGAGUUGCAUGGUUUAAUGCCUGUGCUCUGUAGAAUGUUCUUUAUCUGUUUCCUUUUUUUUUUUUUCUCUUUAAGGGAUCUUUUUUUUCCUCGAACAUGAAUGAAGUUUUUAGUAUAUUGUUUAAUAAAUGUGAUCCAUAUCAUAUGCAUCAGGGAUCUGUGAUACCCAAGCCUCACUUACUACACAAACAACAAUAGUUAAAGAGUAGUUGGCAUAUUAUGUACCAUCUCUUUUUUCUUCCAAAGUUUCCUCUUAUAGUUGUCUUAAAGGAUCUAGGGUCAAUUAUGGCACAUCAUUGAUUCCAUAUUCAAAGACUUCAUUCUUGUGCUUUUGAGUAUGAUUUUUCAGCCUGAAGUUCUGUUUAGAAGUAUUUUUUUUCCCGAUUUUUCAGCCUGAAGUUCUAUAUUGGAAGGUGUUUAAGUGAAGUGUAGGAUGGGUUUAUAUUUAUAGUAGAUGAUUUAAAUGCACUCAUUUGAGAUUAUCUGCUUGGUUGAAGGCAAUUGUCUAUUUAAUUUGAUAGCUUCAAUGAAAAUUGAUUGCCUUGUAUUUGGAUAUGAGGGGUUAUUUUGGAUGCAAAUUAUGUAAAUAUUGUGAAAAAUUUGUUAUACUGGCUAAUGGUUGUGAUGUUCAACUUCAAAAUCUGGCAUGUCAUCACUUGUUUAAAAAAGGUGAUAAUUCAGCAGAAUAAAUUAUUGUAUGAAUUGGAACACAGAUAUCUUGAGUGGUACAUUAGUUUUUAGGAUUCUGUUAAAAGAGAAAUAGCGUUGGAUAAACAAAAAUGAAUAAAGUUCUAAGAAAUACACAAGUUAGCUAUUUUCUUUCCUUGUGUGUGCAUGCUAUGAAACUUUCUGAUGAUGAAUAGACAAGGCUAGUUAUUUCCCUUAUUGAUGUGUACAUGCUACGAAAUUGCAGAUGAUGGUACACGUGCUAACUGCAAGUGUAUUUUAACUUAAGAGUGUAUUGAUGUCAUUUUUUUGGUUGAUUCAUGUUGCUUGGCAACUGUAAUUAUAGUGCUCAUGUUGCCUAUGUGAAAUUCGACAUCCAACUUGUCUACUUUGGAGAAUUCAACAUGACACUGAAAUUUAGAUGUCUUGUGACUACGGAUAACCCAAAAAACAUGCAUAAUAUGCCCUUAAAAUAGUUACAUACAUUAAACCAUGGGAUAAUAGAAUUACAGGCUGAAAUAGUCAGACUUAAAUUGUAAUUUUUGACACACGUCCUACCAAGUGUCCUUCUGAGUCACGGGUCCUCGCAAAAGAAUAAACAAAAUUUGCUGUUAGCUCACUUUGCUUUUCCCAUACCCUUGCCAAAAUUCACCUUGAUCAUCAUUUUCCCAUUACAACAUCUUUGUCUGGUAAGAAGGAGAAUCAGAGGACAGCAGAAAGGGACUUAGAGUAAAAGAGAGUUUCAUUUCCAUUUUCUUGAGGAUAGGGAGAUAGCCAGAGGGGAGCUGUGCCGCCAUGGGCCUUACUGCUGAAGAAAAGGGAGAGGAUGGAAGAUAUGGUAUCUCCCGCCACAAAUUUUCCUCUAAAAGCUAUAAACUGAUCCAAGAUGGGAUUUUCAUUUUCUUGAAUUACUUCUAAAAGACCAUUUCAUGCCUAAAUCAUUGAGCUUGUGAGGUUGAGCGUUAACUAGAUUUUCAGAGGUUACGGUGUUAAAACCUGAAACGAUGAACAUUUCUCCAGUUUUAAAUAUUCAAGGAAGUUGAUACUUGUCAUCCUGUUUGUCACGUGUACAAGAACAGUGUAAACUGGUGAACUGCUUGUGUAUGUUAUUUCUAGUAAAAGAUAAGCAGUCUUUUCUCUUGUUGAAUUGGAGUUGGAUUAUGUUGGAAAUUAUGGCUUCUCUGCAUGAUUUCAUGUUUUAAUUGGUGGAAAUGGAAGGAGACGUUUAUGCAUGAUGCUGCUGCCUUAUCAAAUAGUGUCAGGCAUACUUUUGUUUUGUCUCUGGCUGACUACAAAACAUGGGGUCUAAAAAUCUCCAUUCAGAAUUAAAUGUUUUUAUAUGUUAUUGUUACCUAGAUGAAUAAUUUUCCUCUGUUACCAGGACGAGAUGUUUUUACUGACCAAGUAGUAGAGCUUAAUUAAGGGGAAGUUGCAUACUGCCUAGCAGCACAUUGGAUAUUGACGCUGCGUGUAGUUGCACCAUACGCGUGGAUGUGUUAAGCAGUAUAAAUUUUUACUGGAGAUUACUUUAAGCUGAAGUUGGACAAGAAAAACUGUCUGUCUGUACUGCUUUUAGAAAGAAGAUGUCAUAAACAAGUACUUGAUGCUAAAAGCUUAGUUUAAUAUUAGAACAUAGUCCAAGAAUUUUUCUUGGUUGUCUAUCUUUGCGAGGCAAUAAAGAGAAUUUAAUCACCCACUUCUUGCAGGUUAAACAACGUGCUGUCGAACUAGCAAAGGCAAUGGAAAAUGAGGAUGGGGUAACAGGAGCUGUUAAAGCUUUUUACAAACAUUUCCCUCGUAGGAAAUUGGAGGCCGAGCCUGAGGAACCACGAAAAUCCAAUUUGUUUUCUCUUCGAGGCUGUUUUGGUUACUCGAAGUCCAUCAGAUGAACCUUCAUGAGUCUAAAGGCGGACUAUAUUCUGCUUCAGUUCCUCCUAUAAAUUUUAGUGAGUGCACUUUGCGGCUUCCAGUCACUUCUAGAUGGAAGUUGAAUGCGGACAGAUUACAUGCACACCAUCAAUGAAGAAAAGAAAGGAAAGCAAGAGAAUGAGAGAGAGAGCAAGUGGGAAAUACCUGGAAGUGAAAUAUUGUAACAUCUUCGCGAUUUUUGGUGCGACUUCAAUAAAGUCAAGAAAGUCUUUUAGGUGUAGAGAAUGAAUUGGUUUAUCUGGGUGUACCUCUUUGUAUAUGUAAUGUGUAACAUAUUGAUAUUCGUGAACAGUUCAAACAAUGGAAAUAUUUGGAUACUUGUUUUGACAGUGCAGUCUCUCUCCUUUGCUACCAUUUGGGGGAGAAUGAUAGUUUUGCUUCUGUUGUUGCUGGGGAUGUGGCUUUUGGAUGUUUGUCUGUCGAAAAUGCCUUCCUAGCCUAUUACUGCAAGUUAACAUCUCUGAAGUGGCAGGCAUAUACGUUCUCAAUGCAAGCAAAUGCUCCAUGGUGAAAUAGUCUGAAAAGGUGGCAGCUACAAUUGAGGAAGUCGAGCUCGAUAGUGGAUUUUGAAAAAAAUGCCACCAACAUGAAGCCUAGGGCGCAAAGCAUUCAUAGGCCUUAGGAAGUUCAAGCAAUAGAUGAACAGCAUAAAUCCUUAAAUUGGUGCUUGUCUGUUGUUUGAGUUGUAGGCAGGUUUUCUUUUUUCCUUCUUGGGUUUUUGGCCUGGAUGACAAGGUCGGAGGUUCUAACGGCACAUUAAACAUGGUUUUUGACGAUUAGAAGUGGAUAGUUUAGCAAAUUUUUUGCCAGGUUUGAUGCACAGCUAUGAAGGAAGAUGAGCAUCAAAGGGAUAGCGAAGGAACAUGGAAUUAGGUAUUCCAGAGGGAAAUGUUGCUGUCUCUGCCUAUUUUCGUUCAGGUUCCAACUUUUUAUGUGUUAAUUUCAUUUUGUACUUUUUAAUUAUACGUCGAUUAUCACUUUGGUUUCUAAACUUUAAAUUGAUGCAUUUUAAUAACCUAAUGUAUAAAAUCUGUUCCACUUUAGUUCUAAAGUAUAAAAUUUGUUCCAUUUAAGUAUAAAAUCCGUCUCACUCCCGUUAACGAUUUUACUUAAACGAGACAAAUUUUACUAUAUUUUACUAUAUUAUUUUAAAGUUUAUAAACCAACGUGUGAAAAUUUAGAUACAGUUAAAUGAUCAAAAUAAAAUUAAUCCUUUUCUAUUCCCUCACUCAUAGACACAGCAAAAGGGGAUGACACUUUUCAAUUUUUCUAUUCUGCAAUAUUUUCCAAGAUUGUAUAGACCACUAGUGUUGAUGUUACUCCAGAUAUUAAUCGGUGACAAUUAAAAAUGGAGGAAAUUCUGAAGCCAGCCCAUCACUCGUAACAUCUUCUGUUACAAUAGCAAGUUGUCUGAUUGGUAUUAUGUUUCAUCUUAUGUUCUUGAAUUGUACCAAAUUAGGCGAUCUUUUGGUUGUGAGGAUGGAUUCCUGUCUCAAGCAGCUAGUCCUAGCGGUUUGUUUGUUGAGGACAUAAUCCUGUAGUUUUCUUCUUAGAUGCAGUUCUCCAAUGGACUUUGAAGGAUUUUCAACUAGAUGCUUUGUUCACCUCUACAAGGAAAUGGAGUGAAAAGGCAGUAGUGCACCAACAGCAUAAAAUCUUUCGUUUUGUUUGUCUGUUACUUGACUCGUGGGCAAGAAUGCAGCAGGCUCUGUUUUCCUUUCCUUUUUUUCUUAAAGUUUUUUGCUUCGAUUGUGGGUUCGAAGGCCCCAAGUGAGAGAUCCAAACGUGUAUUCUUUGCGCUCAGAAGUUUUUCAGAACUUUGGGUGAUGAAACGUGAGUCUGUAGAAAUAUAGAGCAAAGAAGCUUGGGGCAGCGGUAGAUAAACUGAGGAAAAAUAACGAUCCUGGCGAAGCAAAUGGAGGAUUGAUCGACCUAAAUAAGCUAUUGUUAGAUAAUUGAUACAAACUAGCUGACUGGAGAAAACAAGAGGUUUUUUCGUUCAUCAAAAUCUAGAUACAAGAUUUACAACUACAAAGGCUUCAAAAGCCAUCAUACUGCAUAGACUUUCUGCAUUUGGUGAUGGACUUGGCAGCAGUCACAACUCUUUUCCACCUUCCCUUGACAUUAUCACGCUUGCUGCGCAACUAAUGAUGCCAUUGGAUUGGAUUUAGGCGUGAGAGAGAUGGGGAACAUAGCCUUUCUCAGCCAGAAAUUGGUUCGCCUCGAAAACACCAUACGUUGCAAAUGUACACAAGCAGAGCAAAGGUAGCCUUUUCUCAUCCGGUACUUGAUUCACCACUUAAUAUGCGAUUUGAUGUUGCAGCCACGAACAUUUGGAGACUAGGAAACAGAAGGGGAAACUUCACUUUUCUGAUCGGGUGCUGUGCUGAUAUCUGAAACGUUCACUGAAGAAUCGCUUCUCACCGCCGGUAUCUCCAAUGUGGGGACUAUAGGAGGCCUCAUCCUCCUUGUAACGUCAUCUUCAAGCCUUGUGUUGUGUGUAUUGUUGCCCCUGUAGUCAUUUGAACCUGCAGACAACUCAAUUCAUGUAAACAUGUAUUUGAUUCAACUUCACAAAUUGAGAGUGGAUGAUCAGAUAAACUUCCAAGCAAAUGGAGUUCGAUUCUUAGCAACAUCCAGUUAUUGUGCUUCCGAAUACAGAAUUGAAUCUCUGUGAAGUUGCAAAAGAGAACUCAAUAUAACUUACAGGAGGAGCUCCAACUGCCAUUUGAAAAUUGAAGCGUUGAACAAGCAUUGAAACUGCAACUAUGGUCUGUUGAUUAAAGAAACAUCGAGAUUACAACCAAAAUACAGGUAUAGUUUUAAAAAAACAGAGAUAGCAGGGCUCUAUCAGGUAAAGAAAUCAUGUAUCGUGCUGUCAAUAUCAUCUACUGACUUACAAGUGAAGUACUUGACUAAAAGAUUACCUCAAAGGAAGCAAACAUGUCUCCAACACACUUUCUUGGUCCCCCUCCAAAUGGCAAGUAGCUGAAACGUAAUAACAUGAGAAAAUAAUUCUAGCUUCUCAAAACACGUAUGUAUGCAUUUAAUGAGAAGCAGAAAAAAGUUGCUAAGAAUAAAUUGACAGAAACUAACAGCAUACCAUUUUAGUAGCCAUUAAAAUACAGACAAAAGUCUCUUUAUCAGGUAUAAUUAAUUACAAAGCUUUCAAUUUUUUCUCUCCUAAGUCCUGAGAGAUAUUCAUUCCAGAAUUCCAACUAAACCAAUUUCAGGGCAAUUGAUCCACUACUGGUUGAUGUGAAUUACCUCCUCUCUGCAUACAAGUGCUUUCUAGCAUCCAUAAAUAACAGAUCACACACAAAUCCCAGAGAGAAUCAUACACAAACAUGUGCUCGUGUUUGGCAAUAGACAUAUCAAUGUAUGUGCACAGUUGUAUUUAUCAGCAAUUGUCUAGUGUAACUUGUAUUCUCCUAUUUAUCUGUCAUACCCAUGAAAAUGGAAUCAAUCCCCAACAUGCAUCUGCGCUUAUAUUUUCUUCAAAAUGAAAGAAACAUGCUCAUUUUCUCACUUAAAUGGGGACCUUCACAAAUUUUGAGCAUACACAAGUACAACUGUUUAAAGCUGAUAAUUUCCAGGUGCCCUAAAAGUAUCAGAGCUCCAUGCACAUGUUAGUCCCUCAACGUUUUUCCAAAAAUGGAUGUCAUGCUGUUUCUGUACAGCCCAAUCUCCUAAACUGUACCAGUCAUUCCUCCAUGAAAGAAAAACGCAAAUCAUAUAACAUAAAAAAAAUAAGAAAAUAUAUAAAGCUUAAACGAUGAACCAUAAGCAGCAACUAUCACAAAAGAAUUCAUCAAUAAUAAUAAUGAUGAUCAUGACGAUAAAACCUUGAGCAGGAAGACUACAUAGCCACAAACAAGUGAAUUUACCUGAAAUCCUGGUUGGUCUCAUUUGGAUUAGGUCCAUCCAGAGGCCAUCUUUCUGGGUUAAAUCUCUCUGCUUCUUCCCAACGUUUGGGACAAUGAUGCAAGUUCCAAACAGAAAUAAAAAUAUCUUCACCCCUGUAUCAAAAGAGAAAAUAUUCUUCAAUUCUGUGGAUACAUCAUGAAAAUUGUCCAAGAAGACUGAAAGUGGAGGAAGCAACACUGGCAAACUUAUAAGCUGAAACCAUUCAGAAGCCUUUUUAUUAUUUGUUGCAAAAUCAGGUUAAAAGCAAAAUAUUACUCUAAAUUAGUGUUGAGAAGUUUGUGCAGGUUAAGAUAUCACGUGCCAGAAUUUUAAUCUUGGUCUUUUCCUGUAUUUGUGUCCACUUGUAAAGGGAAGAUCAGUCGAGCAGUCACAAAAGCUUAGAUUUCACCAAAAAUGAGAACCAACAUGUCACAACCUGGGUGCAACAAACUUGUAUUGAAUUAGGAGAAAUUCAAAAAUUUUAGCCAAUUACUAUUGAUGAGUGUCAACCACUAAUCUCCACCCUUUACUCUGUCAUCUGUCUUUAGAAAUGUAAAAUGCAUUGGUUCCAUAAUGCAGCCUUCGGUAGAGUAAAUGUUAAAACAAGAAACAAGCAUAAUUUUGGAUCUCCCAAGGAAAUAGAUAGGAGAUGUAUCAGAUGUCUUGAACUUGUCACCAAGCCUUCAUUUGGAUUUCUCCCAGAUUAGCUCACCCUAGGAUCUGGAGACUGAAAAAUUUUGUUCCAGCUAAAGCACCUUAUCACACUUAAAUGCAAGGAAAUAGGACAUGCAAAUUUUCACCAGUUUGACUUUAACAUUCCUAGGAUGCCAGAAAUCAUAUUACAAUGGCAGGAUUACAGAGGUAAACUAGUGUAUAUGUCUAAAAAAAUCAUAGUAAGUGUGCCUACAGCUCCAACAAUGCCAGACAUAAUGGAAUUCAGAUAUGAAUGGAUCAGAAUGUUGGAAUGUUCCUUUGAGGCUGAUUUUUGCCCUGCAUUUUUUAAACAACUAAACCCAAAAUAAAAUAAAUAAAAUUGAUUUAAGCUGACCUAUAAAUAGAAUAAACCAAAUACAUCCUAGUCUCUGUUCUUUUAUUGUAAAGUUAAUUUAAGCUGACGAUCUAUAAUUGCCUUUUAUCUUGUGCAAAGUAAAGAAUACCUAAUAAAUACAAGUCCUGCAUGCCUUGGGUCCACGAAAUAACAAUUUUGGCUUAAAAAAAAUGAACAAACAAUUUUGACCUUCGAAUUGGGUACUCUCCAAGCAUGUCAUUUUCAAGAGAACGGCGGAUUAAAACUGGUGGCUGUGGAUAGAGUCUCAAGGACUGCAAAAUGACAAAACUAAGACAAUAAGAAAAAAAUCCUGCAUACUACCCAAAAACUGGUUGAUUCUUAAUGAAUUACAAAGAAAUGCUUCUCACUUCAUUAAUCACUCGAGUUGUGUAUUUCAGUUUCUUCAGGUCUUCCAUGGUUGGAAACCGAUCACCAAGAACUGCAUCCACCUGAAACAACAUUUUAAAUAUAAGAUAUCGAUCUAUUAUUGUUAUAGCACUUAUAUUAUUAGUUAAAACAGAGAUUGUGGAAUUUAAUGCAGCCACAAAAAAAUCCAAAGUUUCAACCUACCUCAUUUUGAAGCUUGGCUAGCACACUAGGUUCCUGCAGUUAUUAGCCCAAGACACAAAAAACAACUAUCAUAUAAGCUCAACCAUUGUAGAAGAUAAUUUAACAUUGGCAAAGCACAAAUUUACUUUCAACAGUCAUGGUUAAAAAUUACACAUUUAGGCAGAGAUGUUGUCUUGGCAGGGGGAGGAGUUAGAGAAGAAAUAACCAAGAGAACCAAACUUGUAGCUUUAACCAAAACUGUAUAAGUUAAGCACUUACCAGAACGAAGCAGCAAUGGAAUGGAAAGAUAUUACAGAAUUUGUAGUUAAUAGUAAUUGUGUGGCAUAUGCUUCUCAAGAAAAAUACUGAUUAACAUUAUGUUGUUAUCAUCUGAAAAGAUGUACUCCAAAUUCUCAAAUUACCUAACUUCUAGGAAAGUUUGUUAAUCAACAUAGUCUGCAUCUGUAAAGUUCUGAAUAUGCCCAAAUUGCAUAGUGAUAGCUGUACAACUACUAUAUGAAAAUAAAAUGCUUCUUCACUUCAUGGACAAACACAUUUCAAAGAAGUUGAGUAGUAAAACAAAUAGAAUAAAAUAAAAACCUUGGAAAGAAGAUAAAAUGUCCAUGUCAGUACUGCAGCAGAUGUCUCAUGCCCAGCUAUAAGCAGUGUCAUCAAAUCAUCGCGCAGUUGUUUGCUAGAGACCUAAUACUUAGUACAUGAGAACCUUUGUAGAAAAAAAUAAUGAUGCAGUAAACAUAAUAACAAGGCACAAAAGAUGUUUACAUCGUCGCCAGAUGCUAGCAGAAAAUGAAGAAUACUAGGAUCUUGUUCAUUCAUGUACUCCUCAUGGAACUGCAACUCUUCUUCAUCUACCAUUCUCUGCAAUUAGUAAAGAUACAGAUUUAAGAAAAGAUGAAUUAGUCCUGAAUAGGUGAGGUUCUCUAGUCUACUUCAAGAUAUAUAAGUUGCAUUGGGUCCACGUACUCGGGAUAAGAAGACCUCGUAAUAUUCUAGAACAACAUGUACUUGGGGUGUAAAGACAACACCAAAGUAGUUUUUAGCAUACACCAGCAGUUUUCAUGUUAAGCCAAACAAGGCAGAAUAAGCAGCUUGCAAAUCCAGCAUGAGCUACUAGUAGCAUGUGUUAUUUACUUAAGUAUAUUGGAAAAGAAAUACAUGCUCGAGAAAGGAAGAGAAAAGAACCACUCCUGUGCCUGGACAUAUAAGAUACAUCUUAGGAGGCGUUAAAAAGAUAUUUGCUUCUUAAUCCUUUGAUGUGUAAAUUCUUCCUUAUACAUGCUAAGAGGUCUUAACAAGUUAUUUGUCUCUCAAAUGCUUUGAUGCAUAAAUUGUUCCUUUCACUUCCUAACCAAAAGUAAAGGGUGCACAAGCACAAUUUCCAAGCACGGUUAAGAUGAUUUAUAUUUUGUUAUUGGAGCCACAUACAAAUUAGCUAAACCACUAUAGCCAUCAAAAGGGUCUUAACCCACACUAUCAUCUAAUCAUUACAAAAGAAAGCAUAUAAACUACAGAUUUGUUGCUGCAUCAGGUGAAUCCUGUUUCCACAAAAAGCAUCAAAUACUACAUAUGCUUUUUUUAGUCCUUGAAUGAUUUAUCUUUCUUACUAACACACUAAUAGAGUUUUUCCCAUUGCUGAUCUAAAAGUAAGAGAGUAAACGCAGUUUCUCCCUGAAGUUGAUCACUAAAGCAGAUAGUGUGAAGUUCGUUUACCUUUUCUUAAAUAAAAUUCAUCUUCUUUCACCCUAACUAUUAUACAUACGAGAGACAUGAAUGAUGCAGGGAGAAAUGCUGCCAUGAAGAAGCAAAAACAUGAAAGUGUGGAUAAUUUAUUCGAAACAGAAAAAAAUGAAGGUGAAAGGACAACAAGAUGAGAGAAAAUUCAGAACCACAAUAACUGGAUUAACAUGAAUAGAUUGCAACAAAGAUGAGCCAGUUCUGAAAUCUGUAAACUACUACAGAUGAAACUGAAAUGCAGGAAAUAACAGGAUUAACAUGGAUAGAUUGCAACAAGACAGUCCUUUUCCGAAUCUUGUGAACUACUAUAGUUGAAACUGAAAUGCUAAAAAGAAAAAAAAAAUUGCCCAAUAAUUGAGAAACUGUUAUAGUAUAACUAAGCACUAAAUUAGUUUAAAAGAUGAAUGUUGUUUGAAUUUGACUUUGGGGUUACACAUAAGGUUUUGAUUAUUUUUUGGACCUUUUCUCUCCUAUGAAUUAAUGAAAACAAGGAAGCAAAUCUGAAUGCCUCAACUUGAUUUAAUGAUUUUUUGGCUCUGUUGAACAGUUGAAAGUAAAUCCCUGAACAGGCAAUAUACAGCAUGUCAACAUGUCAAAACCGAAAUUAUCUUUUUGGAUUUAAAAAAAAGGUCAAAACUGAACAUGCUGGUACUGGAGGUUCUGUAUACAAGUAAGAUCACACUCUGCAUUAUUACCUAUGAAGUCUACAGUGAUACCAGAGAAAUAAGAUAAAAAGGAUGAAAAGAAUUUUAGCAAGUUAAAAAAAAAAAGACUAUAAAUCACAAAAAUAACUUUACCUUACAAAUUGCAAUCAGAUCAUUCAGUGUGUCAUUCACUAGCUUGAGAGCAGCGUUAACCUUCUUUUGCCUAGGUGAAAUAUCUUUCCAAAUGGGAAUCUCCCAUACAGGAAUUGGAGCAACACUUCGAUCCUCAGCUUCUCGCAGUACAGUAUAUACAGCCUGUAACAAUAGCAGAAUUCAGACACCAUAAGUCCAUCAAACUUUGAAAGUCUUGAGAACAGGACAAUUUCUUCUUAUCAAGUUCGGUAUUCAUGCCCUUAGUUAGGAUGUUGAAAUUUCAUGUUAUUUUCCAGCAAAGCUUCUUGAUUUAGCAACACAACCUUCAAGCAAUACAAGAUACUUGUAAUAGAAGAGGAUGUGAAUACCUCAACUAUUCCUGUAUCAACUUUUAAUGAAUCAAAAUCAUAAUUAAAUACAGCUUUCCCGAUAAUAUCCAAUGUUAGCCGGGAAAAAAGCGAUUCCAUUUCUACAUCCUCGCCAUUAGAAGCUGCUUCAUCAAGCUCUCUGCAGAGCCUAUCUGUUGCUUGUCCAAACAAACUGAUCAUUGCAGCAACAUACUGCACAACACACAAUUGAAAGAGAAUCAGCAGUGGAGAAGCCUCUCGCCAAAGAAUAAACCCAAUGCAAAGUUUGGCCAAUGAAAUUGAGCAGGAUACCAACUGGCAACAACCGGCAUUGAAAUGGGAAGAACAGACGCAUAAACUCCAGGAUACCUUUUUAUGUAAAGCGGGGACUAUAGCACGUCGCUAACACGCCAAACCUCCCCAUCAGCAGGUAUGAGUCCCUUGCCCAUCACAAAUUCCAAAAUCUCAGCGAGGACGCCCUAGUUAUCAAGAAUAUCGAGGAGUUAAUUUCCCUCAUUAGUGCAAUGCUGAUUUUCCACGUUCAUCCUUUUUUCUUUUCACCCUAAUGAUUCCUUUUUUUCCUCAAAUUCAGAAAUAGAAAAUGAAAAAAAAAACUAAAAAUAAGAGAAAGGUAUUUCAGUUGCUGUCACCUUUGAAUAAGCUUUUGAAUUGUCCUUCAGUAUAUGUUUGGCAAUUGAUGGAUCUGAAACAAUUAAAAAGGACUGCAAUAGACAAAUUGGGACCAAUGAGACACAAAAGCUGCAGAGCUAACAGCAGUUUAUAUCUACACAAAUAAAUUCAAUAACCACACUAUACGGCAAAAGACAAACCAAAAGAUUUUACAAACCUUGGGACCAAAGGUCAACCUAAAAAUCCCGCCAUAAGUGAGGUAAAGCUCAUAGAGAGGAAUGAAGAAGGCCUCACUCCGGAUUGCACUAACCGAUCCUUUUGCCUCUGGAAUCUUUGGAUAAUCAUCCGCAGGACCUAUCUUCCCGAACAAAAACUCAAGAAUAUCUUUAGGCAACCCCAAUUUCAGUAAAGAAUUCUUGAGCACUGACGGAAAUCUAGUCCCAAACAACACGCAAAUAAAUAAACAACCAACAUUAAGAACAGAACUCCACCAGAAAAAAAAAAUCUGAAAAGAUGGCUUCUUGAUAACAUAAGCAGCAUAAACAGCAAACUCAUACAGACCCACAUGAAAUAUGAGACUACAUCAUCUUUGUUUUUUUUUCUUCCCAAAGAAUCAAAGCUGAGAAUAACUACAUUUUACAAAAUUCGUUUCCAGGUAGGAACUCUAACGCACAAUGUGCAACUGAUCCUUAAACGAAUACAUUACCCGGAUUUCUCAACUGUAAACUCGCCAGCAGCAAUACGGGCAGACAAUUCAGCUCGCCUUUUCUCUUCAAUAAUCUUCUCCACACUCUUGGCGCCGUCCUCCACACCUCCACCUCCACUACCAGGCCCUCUUCCAUCCCCAUUCGAGUCAUAAGCGCACCUAAUCACAGCAAAAUUUCUACAGCUCCCUGCACAGACAAAUUCGCACAACAAAAACAAAGACCCCCAAAGAAACGAAGAAAAUAAGUGAAAUACGAGACGAUAUAAGCAUACAAACCAAAUAAUUCACCAUCCCAUUACCCACCAUUUGACUUUGAAGAUGACGCAGGUGGAGAUAAAGGGUCCACAAAUGUCGGUCUGAAUUUCUUGUUAGUUGGGAGUUUGGGCUGCAGGGAGUGACCUGAGAAUUGAAGCAGAGGAAGACUUGCAGCAGCAGCCAUUAGGAGAAUUGUACGUAUGAUGAGAAUUCUGCGAGUCUUGAUAAAGUCGAAAAUACAAGAAGGCAGACAAGAAGGCAGUAGUAGACUAGUAGUAGCAGAGCAAUGACAAGAGAGAGUGGGGGCUGGAAGUGGGGCUGCGGUGGGUCGGUUAAACUUACAAUAUACAAAUGUGAAAUGUGGCGGCAUCGGUAUCGCACCAACUGCAAAGCCACGGAAAGGUAUCUUCGGAGGAGAGUGGGUCUAUUGGUGAUGAUACCGUUUUGACGUUCCAGAUGUGAUGUCUCACGUGUUGGGUUAAGGGUAUUUUUUUUUUUGGAGAAAAAACAAAACUCCAAAAUCAUGAAAAUGGCAUUUAAAAUAUUUUUCUUUUUAUUUUUUUUGUGGUGAGUAAGAAAUAUAAUAAUGAGUUUGUUUGGAUAAGAGUUUAUUUGGAUUAUUUAUUUAAAAUAAUUACUGUAGCACUUUUUGUGAUGUGAUGUAUGUAAAAUAAAAAGUAAUUGAAAAGAUAAAAAGGUGAAUGGAAUUUAUGAAAUAAAUUAUUUUACUACACCCAAUGUUAGUAGGGUUUACAUAAAAUAAGUCAAGUACAGUCGGAGAGUGAUACUCUAUCAAAUCAUCCUCUAUAAUACAAAUAAGUUUUUAGAGAUGUUAUAUCAUAAAUUAACAAUAGAUUUCGUUAUAAAUUAACUGUUCGUGUAUAUACUGGUUCGACUGGAUAUGUGUUUGAUUUCAAAUUCAGAUUACGAUUAGUUGUUAUACAUAUGAUGAUGAUGAUAGUGUAUUUGUCGUUAAUGUAUAGAAAAUUAAUUAUUUGUUAAAUGGAUCUACUUCUAGUUAGUAAAUUAGCUUUUCUAUUAGUUUUAGUGAAAAAAAAAAAAGCUGCAUGAUCUCCACGUUUAGAAUGAUCUUUUACUUUUUCAUAUGUACUAGUGCUCAUGGCUAGGCCUGUUAACGGGCCGGGUCUGGGUCAAAAUUCUUUAUUUCGGAUUCGAAUUCGGACCCGGUAUACCAAAUCGGAUCCAGAUUCGACCCGUUUACCCUAUGGGUCUUUUAUUCUAUGUUCCGGAUCCGGAUCCGGAUCCGACGGGUUCCGGAUCCGGAUCCGAGUCUACUCGAAAAAAAUUAUGAAAAUUUACAAUUUCUAAUAAAAAUGAGAAAAAAAUAUAUUUGUACACUAAUUUCUAACUAAUACAAAAAAAACCAAAUAAGUAAAUAAAUCAAAUUGACUUUACUCAAAUACAUCACCCUAAUCAAAUUAUAUUGAUAAAUAUACAUAUUUUAAAUUAUUAAUCCAUUUAUUUCCGGAUCCGGGUCUAAUACGGGUCGGAAUACUAUAUUCCGUAUCCGAUCCAUUUUUUUGUUUGACAAAACGGAUCCGAAUCCGGGUCCGGGUAACGAAAUUAAAUCCUUACCCAUACCUGCAAUAAUUUUACGGAUCUGGAUCGGGUCCGGACCCGGACCGUUGACAGGCCUACUCAUGGCACAAUUAGGGUAAAUAAAUUGCUAAAUUCUUUUAAUUUAUAUUUUUAUGAAAAAGAAUGGAUGGAUUAUUAAUUUUGCAUCAAAAAUUCUAUUGACUCUAUGUGGUUUUUCUUGUGUUUCUUAAAAAAAUUUUUUUUUAACACAAUUAACUAUUGUUGUUGGUAAUGGUAUGCACCAAUAGACACUUAAAAGCCCGAAAACAGGAAGUCUUGAAAAUUAAUAAAGGGUAGAAACUAUAGCCUAUAUGUAUGAUUCACACGAUCAAGAAUAAAACCAAUGACUCAGAAAGACAAGAAGUUUGGCAUAAAAUUGAACUAUAUCCAUUAUUGCUAUUUACUAGCUCUGCAAUGCUGCUUUGCUUUCGUCUCCUACCUAUUAUCCCUGCUCUUUUCUCCUUUUAUUUAUGGCUAUCGUGCAUACCUAGCCUUCCCAUAACAGCUAGGCAUGGCCUUUGAGUAGUUGUGCUGCAAUAAUCUGGAAUUUCUUGCUCAACAAACUAUAGCCAUAUCACUGGUCAAUGAUACACUUGUUUUUUUUUUUUUGGCUGUGAUGGUUUUAUAUAUCGGACUUUUCUUUGCUACUAGUUAAAUUUCUUGCUUAUUCAGAAAUUAAAAAGAAUAAUUACAUGUAACAAAAUUGCCAUUGUGGAAAGAAAUUAUUGUUUGCACAAAUUCUUGUCCCAUCUAAAGGGUGGGUUUCUUGUAAGCUUGGAUGACGUCGUGUAACACCCAAAAGAGACCCGUAACAAAAUGGCGCUGCAUGAAAACCACAAAAUAUAACUUAUUCCCAAAGGAAAUUCGGUUUUAGUCAUACAACAUUUUUUUAAACUACUUUGCCAACAGAAACUAAAAUACAUUUUUUUCUUAUUGAAGCAAUAAACUAUCGACAUAUCAUCUCAUAGGAUCAAAUUUUGGGACUUUGCUCUGUGGCCUCGACAUGGCUCCAAGAUACUGAAAGAGUCAAGGGUUGGGAAAGGAUUUCCCCUUGUUUUCAGCUGCCAUAAAUGGGGAAAAAAAAAGGGAAUUUAGAAUAAACAUUUAAUCUCAUAUUGCAGCCACAAUUUAAAUUGGGAGAAGUUAAGUUCAUAUUAGUAAAAGAUCUCUUUACCUUGUUGAAUCAACACAAAGCAUCGCAAAAUAGGAUCCACAGGCAGGCCCAUAGCUUCAUAAAUGGGAUCAUACAAUGAAGUUAUACGAUACCUACAGCAGGAAUUUUAGAGUUAAUAAUUAGUUGUUUUAACAUGGAAAAAAUAGAGAUAAAUGUAAUACUAAAUGUUAUUAUCAUAGGCCAUGCAAAAUUUUGUCACCUUUUGUUAGGAAAUGUACCAGCUGCAAUUGGAUCUUGUGUGGCUUGAGCUUGAAAAAACCCACUUCUUGGUCGAUUCUCAGAUGAUUCCAUGUGUUCGUCCUGAAAUAAGUUUUGUUAUAUGGCAAAUCAAUUAUUUUCAACGUGUAUCCAAAAAGAAAGAAUUUGAUGUAAUUCAUUGGGUUCUUGUGCUUUAAUUUUCACUUUUGGAUUCUUGUCCUUUAAAUUUUUUUUUUUUAGUGUAAACAGAAGGAUUCGAACCUGAGAACUUCUGGAUUCUUAUCCUUCGAACUUAUUCUAGUUUAUGCCCUUAAUUCAAUUUGGCACUCCAUAGAGGACAGAAACAACAAUUAAUUUACCCUUAAAGGCAACAAUGGUAACAAGAUCAUACCUGUAGCAAAGAAGGAAAUAUACUUCUUUCAUGAGAGCUAUGCGAUCCCCUUAACAAAUCUGAAAAUGUUUGAACGCCUGGUGACCUACGAGGGCCAAAAAAAAAAAAAAACAAAAAACAAAAGUUUCACUAUAUUCAUUAUAAAACCAAGAUUUUGUGUUUGUUUCUUGAGUAACACCUAUUUAAGGUAGAAGCUCAAUAAGAGCUAACAAUUAAAGAUUUCAAACAAUGUGAAACAAACAGGUCAUGCAACAUGUUAUCUUGUAUGGUUGAUUUGCAGGUAAAAAGGAAUUUUUGGCAAUAAUGUUGGCUUUACGUCGUUUUGUAAUUUCUUGCUCUUGAAAUCCAAAUUAGGAAAACUUUUGAUGAGUAUAGUUUGGAAAAUCUUUACAAUUUUCUUUUUUUUUUUCUUGCAACUUAUGUAAAUAAUGACUAGAAACUAUCUCAAAUAAAUUGGACUCUGAUUAUGUGCAGAAUCAGAUGAAAUUUUGUAUGUGAAGCAAACUAACAAAAGAAAUAACAUUAGCCUAUUUGUAGAAAGUGGAACAUUUUUUUUUUUUUUGGGGUGUCAUUUACAAACCACGAGAACGCAUAUAUAAUGCAGUAAUAAAAAGGUUGUCGGUUCUUACCAUUGUAGACCUGAAAUUUCAUUUGGCUUAACUUGGUUCUGAAAUGGCCUGCUGACUUGGUUUGCAUUGGAUCCAAACCGCUGAUGAUUUGCAUUCUGAAAUAUGCAAGAGUUACAAAAGUAUGCUAAUCUGCUCGACUCACAGAAUCAAAAUAAUUCAACAUCCGAUUAAGCUUUGCGCAAGAUGGUUAGUUUUCUGUCUGAUCAUUGGAUACAUUAUAUUGAAUAAGCUUUACCAUUUUUAAAUGCUAAUUAGCAUGGUCUAACUUUUCCUCAACAUGGUUUAAUUUUUGUCAACAACUUCAGAAAAGAGAUCCAGUUUGCAAGUAUGUACUCCUUCAAGAAAAGGGUAGAUCAUCAUAAGAACGUAAUGCCAUAGAUGCAUGGUAAUGACUAAGGCCUAAAUUUUUUUUUUGUUGGGGGGGGGGGGAGUGUGUGUGUGUGUGUGUGUUUAAGCAUGCAGUCAUACACUUUUUUUGAUCAGCAGAUGGAGAAGGAGCCAAGAACUGAAAUGUUGGAACUAUUGGUUCCUUUUGAUCCUCUUGGGGAACAAUUUCAGGAUGAGAGUUGGACAAACUAAGUUCAACCCCUGCAGCUUUCCAUCUACAAAAUACCAAAAGCAAUUAGAAUCAAAUACUAACAAUUGUAGAAUUCUUUAAUUUUAGGAUAUGAAAUUGGUUUCUGCAUUAGCAAUCUCCAUAUAGGAAAAUACCCUUCUGGAAAUGGAUUCAGAGAUGGAGUAGGAUCAUGAUUCUUGGCAUGCUUUUUGGUUUCUUUGGGUGAAGAGGAUGACCCCUUUGGUAUCCCUUGGUUCUUCUGGUCCUGUGAAAUAAGUACUUCUUUUAAGUAUCAAAAUUAGAACAGUAUAUUUACCAACUCAAAAGGUAUUCUGGCAAGCAAAAAAAAAAAAAAAAAGAUAUAUAUCAUCAUCUGAGCAUUUAUUACUACUUGGGCAAGAAUUAAUUGUACCCUUGGACUUGAUAGAUUUUAAGACAAAGAAAAGCUAUUGUAAAUUGAAUUUCUUCUACCUUCUUUAAUUAAAGAACCAGAGACCAUACCUUAUUUUGAGCUUUACACGUCCGUGCCCUCUUGGUAACCCUCUUAGGCAUCUGGAAAAUGGCCUUUGAUAACCUUCCUAGACUUUUUUUUUUUUUUUUUUAAAUCUUGAAUGACCAAAAACAAAAAUGACACAAAGUGAGAAUUUCAAAAUUUAUGUAUAAAAAAAAACAGAAUUACCUUCUAAACUAAACUGAAAAUCAAUGCAAGAAAAUGAAACUUUGCAAUAAAAGAUGAAGGAUUUUCUUUUGGAGAUGGAUGAUGUGUGAUCCAUGAUAGUGAUUAAAAAAAAUAAUCUGCAUUUUCUACGUACAUAACCAAGAAUAUAUCGUUAUUCUGAGACUGAGAAAGUAACAAUAAUAUUUUGGAAAGAAGAUUUAGUAAACAGUAUCAUGGUGGGGUGGAUACCAGCUUAAGCACACCCCCCAAAUGCUUGAAAACGAGGACUUGGUUACGAUUUCUGAAGAAGCUUUGAUGGAUAUGAAUUUAUAGGACUAGUUUUCCAGCAAAAAUUUUGCUGAAAUGGAAAUUAAUAAUGAUAAAUGAUUAAUAUGGAAUUCUGGUACGAAGAAAAUACUGUGCAUUAAUUACAUUUAAUGAGAAGGAUUCAAAAAAAGUGCAAUCCAUAUCCAACUUAUUUCAUGGUUGAGGCAUAGUUGGAAAGUCAUUCAAUGCUUCUUGGAAGUACUUGACUAAAUUAUGGCAAUAGAGGAAACUUAAUAUUAGCAUUUACUAGAUGGAAAAUAGAAGAUAAACAUUGUCAAUUGCACUUAUUAUUCCUUAAGAUUUGCAAUAAAUUGGCCUUAUAAUUUAUUGCAUCCUUAUAUGGACAAAUGUAACUUUUGUUAUAAAUUAUACUAAUUAAUUCUCAUUUCCUGUGGUAAUAAUUUAUUUCCUUUCGGGAAUUUUUUGUAAAUAUGUUGCUUUUAGGUAUAAAUAUUGAAUGAAUAUUGCGCCUUAUCUUUAGAAGGAAGGUUUUAAUAGUAUAGUAUCCCUCCAUUGUAUCUGAAUAAUAAAAAGAAUGAAAAAGUAAAUAUUACAGUGUUGUUUAAUCUUAAUUUUAUACCUUUACAUGCUCUAAACUUUAAUUGUAGUGAGAAAAAUCAACAAGAGGUCAUAGCCAUGGGACUAAGCACAUUGUUAAUCAUAGGCUAUACUUGUUUAAGAAAAUUGAUGGCUCUAAUUGUACCAAUUAAACAAAAAUUCUGCACGUAAUGUAUGACCAUGGCAUAAGGAAUUCAAUUAAUCACACUUUGCUCCUUAAACUUUAGGGAUAUUCAUACUUUACUAUCCUCAAUCUUAAAAGCAUAUAAAACCCCACCCCCCCCCCCCCCCCCCCCAAAAAAAAAAAAACUAGUCAAGGUUUACAAUGCAUAAAAAGUAAGUACAAUGACAUUAAUGUCCUCUUAUUUGUGAGAUUAUUUAUAACAUACUAUUAUUUGUAUUUUAUUGCUAACAAAUAUAUACUUUCUCUGUAAUAUCUACUAUACAAAAAAUAUUAAACUGAUAAAAACUAAAAAAAAUUACAUUUAGUUUUUAUAUAAAAUUUUUUGUUGGAUUAAUGUUCACUUUUGCAUAUACUUUGUUCAGUUGAUUGGAGUUUAAAUCAAACAAUAAGGACAAGAACCAAAGAAUAACAAUAAAUUUAGUCAGCAAAAUUUUGAAAGAAUAAGGUAAUCUUAACUUCUUAUUCUUUAAAAAAUAAUCUUUAUUAUAUUAGUUUACGAAGACUUAAUAUAACAUCUUUUUAUUUUUAUUUAUCAAAUUAGUACAACAUUAAAUACUUAACAAAAAUUAUUAAAAAUGACUAAUACGUCUUAUUAUUAAACUGAGAGGAGGAAAAUAGAGAUUAAUCAAACUUCACCAUUUUUUGCAAACGAAGGGCAAUAAUUAUAAACUAUAAAUAAUUUCAACAACAAAUGGGCAAUAUAGUCAGAACACUCACUUUUCGUUAUGGAGUUUAGAUUUUCAAGGUUGAUUAGUCUUCAUAGGUGGUGAAGUGUAUAUUUUUAAGGUUGACGCGAAAGAUGUGAUUUUCUCAAAGAUUAGGGGGCCAAAGUGUUAUUAAAACCAUAAUAAUUGGCCAUAUUUUCUUGACAAAAACGUACAAGCUGUGUGUAUGUCUGUACAUCCUGUGUAGCUCGACGUACAAAGUCAUGGAAAUCAAGCUUGAAAAUUGAUGACCGGCAUUUGACAUCUGGAAUUUUGGGUGACAGAUGAAAAUUUGCGGAAGCAGGUUCUGUUUGAUACCUUGUAGGAUAUGCAUACAGGAUAUAACAUGUGUGAAGUGAUAUAAUAUUUGUUAACAUAUUUAAAUUAUACAUAAUUCAGCAUCUAAAUACAUAUUCUUAUUGAAUAUAGAAUAAUCUCGAACAUCGAAUCAACCCGAAGUUUUAAAAGUAUAUUUAUAUCAGAUGUUUCGAACGUAUCUAAUACAUCUGAAUAUACAUUCACACUCCUCUUACAUUUGGACACGUUCUCAAAUUAAUUUCACUUUCCCUCGAACAUGUAAAAACUACAGCAUAUUUGUAUUCAAAACCAGUCAUCUACGUUCAAUGCUGUCUAAAUUAAACCUGCAUAUUUUAAGCAGAAUAAAAGGUUAUAUCCAGCAGGGAAUCCAACCAACAAGAAAAUAUUUUCUUAAGAUUUCCUUCCCUUUUGGGGUAGUGGAAUUGGGGUAUAGAAGAUGCCCUUUUAAGGGAGAACAAAAAAGAUAAUUCCACGAGUGCGUUCAAGAAUUUACCAUUUACGUGUUACUUUCACAUUUAUUUUUACUCGUUUUUCGCUUUCCAAAUAAAAAUCUUCUUGAAAUGUUGAUUUUAUCACUAACAAAAAUCGCAAAUACAUUAUACAGACGAGGAAGAGUUUGAGUUAGAUAGUAAGGUGAGAGAGAUUGUGAAUAGGUGGUGUGUUUGGCUUAGGUUUUAUCCCGAAAUAAAACCCAAACCCAACUAGUGGUCCUGAAUAAAAAACCUUUCACUCAUCUCCAAAAAAAAAAAGGAUACAUUGUUCGGAUGAAAUAGAUAAUUUUUCCCAAUUAUAUUGUGAAAAAUCUAAAUGACGACACAGGGAUCUGCUUAACAUAUUCCUUUGUCGUACUGGCAACCUAUGUUUCUUAUUUUUUUCCACAAACGAUAACAGUUAUAUAGAUGAUUAUCCGUGACAAUACAAGAUUUAAAUACAAAAAGGGCUACUACCCUCAUUUCCUUCCUCACUAAAUCCAUCAGCCAAACUGGGAAAUCUUGUUCCCAUUCAAUAUUACGCACUAGCUUGACAGCAAAUUGAGCUAGAGCAUGGCUGAUUUCAUUUUCUGUUCUAGGUAUAAACACAAACCUACAACUUUCAAAAUGUGUUGUAAAAUCCUGCACAUCUUCCAGAAUAGUUGCAAUGCUAACUUCAUACUCAUUGCUUCUAUUUAUCUGGUCUAUUACUGAUUUACUAUCCGAAUGGAUUAUAAUUUUAGUCCAUCCUACUGUUUAGCCAUCAGCAUUGCAUUCCUAAUUGCCAGAGCCUCUUCCUUACUUGGUUCCCCCUUAUAUUGGUUGACUAUUGGUUUUGCUUUCAUGAUCUUUCCGUUCCAAUUUCUUGCAACAAUUCCUUGACCCGUCCUUAUCAUUUUUGCUGAUAUCGCAGCAUCUGUGAACAGGCAAACCUCAUCUUCCCUUGCUGUUUCUCUUCGUGUCUGAUGCUCACUGAUGAUGGCAAUUGCACUCUUCUCCUUUUCUUCCUCCCUUGCCUGCUCAUAUUCCAUCCAUUCCUCUUGUGCUUUUGAGAUAAUUUUGGGUGGGUUCUGGUAUUCAUUUUCAAAGACUCUUCUGUUUCGUGCUUUCUAGAUUUGCCAAAAAAUAUUGAUGGUGAAGCUCACUCUGUCAGGUCCAAAGUCCUUUGAAGUAGAUUGAGUAGCUUUUUCCCACCAUAUCCAUAGAUUAUGCUGUUUGUCCUCUAAUCCAUCCCACCUUACCGGUGCCAUUUUCCAAACAUCUAUCGCAUUCACACAAUAAAAGAGUAAAUGUUCGAUGGUUUCUAUUCCUUCUCCGCAGCAGCUACACCUUCCCUCUCCUUUUCCUAUCCUUUUAAAAAUUACUUCAUUGGUUGGUAAACAAUUUUGCAAACAUUUCCACAUGAAGUGUUUCAGCCCUUUACCUUUUGGUGCCAUAGAUUCUUCCAUUUGGCAACCUAUGUUUCUUAUUGCCCACACUUCCAUUAGCUUCUUUAACGAGAUGAAAUGAACCAAAUAAACCAUCAAGAAGACACUCUCAAAGGAUAAAACAUUGCAUUUACUUGUACGUACGCAGAUGCAAGAAGGCAUUUCCCUACGGGCUGCGAAGCAAUGUGGUCGUGCAGUAAUCAAUUGCCAUUCUUUAGAAAAACAGAAACUGUGAUCUACCAAUCUUCGUGUCCGCCCUGCACAACAUUUUAUGGAAGCACCAAACAACAAAUACAUUCAAGAAAGUACAAUUCAUAUUUCAACCAUCUUUAGUCAUUAGACAAGGGAAUCAGCCAUCAAUGUCUAACAAUAUGAGCAAACAAAAGUACCUCCUCAUAAUCAUCACAAGGCAAUAAACUACAAAAGGGUCAUAAGAGCUCAUUGAUGUAUAAGUAAUAUCUCUAUUAUUUCUCCAAACGGUGAGCAGUAAUAAAGUCAUCAUAGUCGCAGAUAGUAAAAUAUUGUAUUAGAGCAUGAAGGGCACCAAUCGGGGUUAAAGGGUGGGUGUGGCAGCAGACGGG
This 47419-nucleotide long non-coding RNA is filed under the name Coffea arabica (coffee). RNAcentral describes it as "long non-coding RNA (CARA_LNC006460)". The record is from RNAcentral. Lineage: Eukaryota; Viridiplantae; Streptophyta; Magnoliopsida; Gentianales; Rubiaceae.